CGACGGAGAAUCAACCAAUUAAAGGAUCAUAAAUCGAGCCGAGGGAUUCAGUUUUCAGGCGGUGAGCUCCUCUUCCUUGUGGGUCUCGAUGACGAGGUCCGACUGCGGGUAGGCGGCGCAGGUGAGCACCCACCCGGCGGCGACCUGGUCGUCGUCCAGGAAGCUCUGGUCCGACUGGUCCACCUCGCCGGAGACCACCUUGCCGGCGCACGACGAGCAGGAACCAGCCCGGCACGAGUAGGGCAGGUCGAUGCCUUCUUCCUCGGCGUGGUCCAGGAUGUACACGUCGUCGGGGACCUCCAGAUCCACCUCCCCCUCCGGCGUCACCAGCUUCACCUUGUACGUCGCCUGCGCACGAAGCCUCAUGCCCCUCGCCGACGGCGCCGUCAGCGGGAGCACCACACGGGACGAGACGGCCGAGGAAGGUGGAGGGGCGGCUGUGAAGAGGGAGAGGCUGCUCAGCGCGGUGGUCGCCAUUAUUGCAGCUGUGUAAGCUUUCUUGCGAGGAGGAGGAUGGUGUUGGAGAGUGUAUGCAGUAAGCUCUAGCUGGACUGGAGGGGAUGAUGAAGAAGAAGAAGCAGAGGAUGUCCUAGAGGGUGCCACGUGGCCCCUGCAGGUGCUCAGGCUUAUCCUUAAGCUCGGAGCGACCACGGCCACACGAUGAAGGGAUGGACGUCGAUCCACGAGGGCGUGUGGAGGCCAUGCGAUGUAUCCAAUGCGAUUUUGAUCGAUGCACGGCGGCCGUCACAUUUUGGUUUGAGUCAAGCUAGAGAACCUGAUAUGCUGUAAAUUCUUCUAUCUAUAAAUAUUUCGCGACUGGUUUUAGCGAUAGCGAUCAGUCGAUCGAGUGAGUCUAAAUUUCAGUCAGAAAAGAAAAAAAAUCACAAUGAUUUUAGCGAUCAGUCCGUCAUGUGUGACCGGACGAGAAGCCAAGAAGUACACCAGGUUUCACAUUCACAUCAAAAACAGACAAAAAAACUCGAGAUGGAAGCGAUCGUGCCGAGAGUGUGAGCAAAGAUCGCCUUAGUAGACAGUCAGCGGUCUCUCCUCCUCUUGGUCACGCAAAUGGACUUUAAAUUGAGCAGGUCAUGGAAUCCUUCGCUCGGGAACAAUGAACAUGAAAUGCCUUAAAAUUACAAUGCUCCGACCUUCAGUGCAGCUCACCUUUCGUGAGAAGUAAGGCUCCACCAAUCACCGCUGGCGAUGGCACUAGGCAUAUCAUGUCAAGAACAUGUCGAUGAGGCCGGGGAGAAAUGGCAGGACGGACGUCAUGGAGGAGCAGUGGGUGGCGCUAACCCUAGCAACACAAGCUAGGGACAAGGGCAUGUGUAGGCCAUGCGAUGUAUCCUGCGGGGGAGCGAUGGAUGGCCGGCCGGCCAAUGGGGAUGCAUGGUGGCCACCGCAUUUUGGAUCAGUUGAGUGAAGCCACAGAUCUCAUACACUGUUCUGUAAAAAUCUUCUAACCAGAAAUAUUGUUUCGACCGGUGUUAGCGAGAGCGAUCAGUCGACCGAGUGAGUCUAAUUUCAUACAGAGAAUUAUGCAGUUGUUUUUAGCGAGCAAUCAGUCCAUCGUGGCGAUUGGAUGAGAAACAAAGGAGUACAUUGGGCACAAGGUUUGACGUCUAGAUCAGAAACAAUAAAAAAACAUUGAGGUGGAAGCGAUUGGUCUCUCCUCCUCUUAGUUGCACAAGGACUUUAAAUUGAGCAAGCCUUUCAAUGAACAUGAAAUGCCUCGGAAUCACGAUGCUCCUACCUUAAGCGAGAAGCAGCACCAAUCAUUGCUGGCACUGGGUAGAUUGUGUCCAGAACAUGUCCACAAGGCCUAGGAGAAAUGGCAGGCUGGGCAUAAUGGAGGAGUAGUGGCCGGCGCUAACCCUAGCAGCACGUGCAAGGGGAAAGGGUCCGCGGCGGGGAUGCAUGUGGCGUAAGUCGACGGGUCGAGAGAUAUGCGAAGAAAACCUUAAGGAGCACUGAUCAAUCUAGGGAAACCAUGCGGGAUGCCAAUCGAUUCAUAAAAAAAAACGUGUGGUGGGUGCCGAUAGAACUAGGGUAAACCGUGCGGGAGGGUUGCCAAUCAAUCUAGGAAAAAUUGUAGCGGGAAGCAUGCGAGGGGUUCGGAACGAUGUAGAAAAAGCCAUGUUUUUUUUCUGAAAAAAGAAGAGGGGAUAAGCUCAUUGUACCAAGAGAAAAUUGAACUCGCAUCACUAACUCGCAUCACUACUUCGUAGCUAGUAAAAAUACCAUCAUUGCAGAGACACAUCACACACCUGCUGGCUCAACCAUCAAAUCCAUUAAUUUCAGUACGUACAUAAAUACUAGCAGCAGCAGCAGUAAUUUGACCGUAUGGAUCGAUCUCAGGCAGGGGUAGUACAAAAAAGAGGAACACAUAAUAUUACUUGAGCAUUUCAUUCAAGCUCGCUCGCACAGCAGCAACCAAAUCGAUGCACGAUAAGAUCCAUGGAGCUUAGAGAGAUUAUGAUAUCAUCAGACACUCUUGCAAAAGCUGAAGACUAAAAACUUAGGCGGUGAGCUCUUCUUCCUUGUGCGUCUCGAUGACGAGGUCGGACUUGGGGUAUGCGUGGCAGGUGAGCACCCACCCGGCCUCCAUCUGGUCGUCGUCGAGGAAGCUCUGGUCCGACUGGUCCACCUCGCCGGAGAUCACCUUGCCGGCGCACGACGAGCACGACCCGGCCCUGCACGAGUAGGGCAGGUCGAUCCCUUCUUCCUCGAAGUGGUCAAGGAUGUACACGUCGUCGGGGACCUCCAUCUCCACCUCCCCCUCCGGCGUCACCAGCUUCACCUUGUACGUCGCCUGAGCACGGAGCCGGAUGGCCCUCGCCGACGGCGUCAGGGGAAGCGCCACGCGGGAUGGGGCGACGAUUGGGGACGGCGCGGGGGCGGCGGAUGUGAAGAGGGAGAAGGGCGCGCGGAGGCUGCUCAGGGCGGUCGCCAUUGCUGCUGAGAGCUGAGAGCUUGCUUGCUUGCUUGUGUGGUGUGAGGAAGAAGAAGGAGGAUGAGCUAGGGGAUGGAUGAAGAGGGGGGAUAAGUAAGUAAAGGGGGGGGCUGUGUGCCACGUGGCGGGACGUGGGUGGGGGGCUUAUCUUGGAGCGAGGAGCGUCACACGAUGCUCAUCCUCGUCGGCGCCGGGGGGCGUGUGGCUGCCCGGCGACAUCCCGUGAUCUCUCUCGCUUUCUCUUUUUUUUUUGACAAAGAAGGCAGCCUAGUUUCUGCUGGGCCUUUUCCGGCCCAAUUACUAACUAACUACUUCGGUUGCUCGGCUUUCCUUCCAGGCCCGCUAAGCGAAGCCGACGGCAGAUGCAGCCGUGGGCUGGCCGGGGAAUAUGCCGAGUUUUGGGCGGGUUAUUUUUUUUUCCUUUGAUGCGAAUAUGCCUUUUUUUUUUCUUGCAACAAGUCUGAACUUUUAUUUCUACGGACAAGUCUUGUAACUAGUACACGCGGAGAGACUUUUUUGAGUUUUGACGCGAGUUUCUGUUUGACUGACUUGUUCUCUGCGUCCAUUCGAUUUAAUUUAUCGAGACUUUUUCUGUGACAGCUAAAUAUCGAGACUUUGUUGCGGGGUUCUUUUUCGUACCAUUGCUUUCCACGCAUUUAUUAAUUUAUGUGAAUGGAGAAAACGUCUUAAAUCUAUAAUAUCUAUAAAGUUGAUCUUCACUAUUUUUGUUUGCAAGCUUGACAUAUAAGAUGUCUACAUCAUACGCAUGCAUAGUCUCCACAUCACCAUCCACAUCAUGUGUUGUAAAUCACUAGGAAUCCAUUUUGGUGGUCUUUUUGAAUGUCAUAUUUUGAUACUUAGGAUUGUCAACUUAACGUUCUAUAUAAAUAUUUCGCCAAAUACACAUAUUUUCAUGACAUUAUCAAUCUUUUUAAGAUCUGCAAACACACAUAUUUUGAUGUUCAUGUACAUCAAAAUUAUUCCUAUUGUUUUGCUCCAUAGGUGUUAUGAAUGAUAAAAUCAUUUUGUCCUACAAUAUUUAUAUUUCUUUUGCAUUUAACCAUAUUAUUAUCAUGUGUUCCUAACGUCAUAUCCAGAUGUGCAUCUAGAACUUUCCGCGGCAACGCGCGGGGAUCACCUAGUUAUUACUGUUUGCAAUCCAUAUAUAAAGCGAAGAUAUAUAAAGCAAAAAAAAAACAUCACCUAGUUAUUACUGUUUGCGGGGAUCCACACCGUAAUAAUAACCUAAACGAACAUAUAUAACAAUCCAUGUGGGCAGAAAAAAACAUACAUGAGACAUAUAUAAAGCGACGUCAUCAGCUAUCUACUCCAAUUAUCCAACUGUUAAUCUGCUACCUAGAUCGCUUACAUAUGCAGGCCGUUGCAUGUGCCGUGCUAUAUCACGAAGAUCCAAGACAUAAUACGUGAUCUAGACAGACAUGUAGCUGCUCUCUGUCCUUUCUUACUGAUCAAGGAACAUUUAUAAAAUUAAAAUGUUCUCAUCAGUUCCUGCUGAUUGUCUUGAGACAUUAGCAACCGGUUAAUGAUAAAGAAUGGAAAUCAACGGGGGUCGUCAUCAGAUGCAGAAUCUCUUGUAUGCUUAGCUUGUGGAUUACUACUGUAAUAAAUGCGCGUGGCGUAAAGUUUGCACCAAAUCACACAGCGACAAACGGUCAGACAUUGCGUACAUGCAUCCAUGUAUCCCUUCAUUUGACCACAUAAAGCAGUAUUACCUCCGUCCAAUAAUAACGGGGUGUAUUAGCUUUCCUUUGAUCUAUGGUUUGACCACAAAUUAUUCUAAUAAUAUAUAAUUAUAAGGCGUAAGUUGAUAUCCAUUAUAUUUCUAUUCAACGAUAUUUGAUUAUGGUUAUGACUUUGAUCACAUUAGUCACAUAUUAAUAGAGUAAUUUGUGAUCAAAGGCGAAGUACUACAACAGCUAAUACACACUUAUGUUUAAUUAAUUAAAACAGACUUGAUGCUUCCCCUCUACACUUUUCCCCCUGAUUAGUUCCAGCUGCUCCUUCCGAGUAAUUCAAAUACAUCUGCUGUAGUUACCGUUCCUCGCUAUUUGGAUUGAUCGAUUGACUGAUUGAUUAAGGUGUGUGCACGUAAGAAGGUCAAUUAAUUGAUUAACUGACUAAGAUCCGUGUGUUUUGGUCUAGCCAUGCAUGAUUUUCACUUUGCUUGCAAGCAAGCAGAUAGCUAGCUAGGCAGUAUUUCGUGCCUCCCAUGCCAUGCAUCUUGGUUUUCCCAGGCCAAAAAACUGUCUGUCUGUCCGUCUGUCAGGCAGCAAGGGGAAUGGUCGAAUAUUGAACCGGUCAUGCACGGGGUAACUGACGACGCUAGAACACGCAGUAUAUCGUACCACGCACGUCUGCUUCUUCUAUUUUGACAAAAAAUAGCAAAGAUAUUUCUUGUUUUUCCCCUCUUCUCAUUCAUGUUUUCUUGGCAUGCUCUUUCUUUUGGUAUGUGGCAAUAAUGAGCUUAUCCGAGUUAGGAUAAGGUUAGCACAGCCACAAUAUUAAUCAAUACUAUUAGUAUAUCGUCUGGUAGUAAUGUGUUGUUAAGUCAUGAUGGUGGAGAACAACAACACACGCUUUGUUAGUUAGAAUGGCCAGCCAGCUAGCUCAGUUGAAUGCCCUUCAAUCUAUGAUUGAUUUGCGUAUGCAUAUUUCUGUUGAAGCCGUCAUAUAUAUGGCGUGGCAGCUGCAUAUGCAAGAGCUAGUGUCCAACAAACAAGAACCAACCAGACCCAAAGCGUGUCGGCGCCGAUAGCCCGUUCUGCCGUUCCCUUGCGUGGCACGACACGGUAACCAAUCAAAAUCCAUAUCAUUUUUUCCUUUCUCAUAAAAAAUGUCUAGUACAGUCGCAAAAAAAAUAAAUGUUUAGUGCUAUAUACUCCUACUCCUUCCUAAAUAUCAUAAGUUUUUCCUACUAAGUUAUAGUUUUGUCUGUCUUAAAUCAAACUUCUUCAAGUUAUAUAUCUUCAUAGUAUGUCCAUUUAAUAUUGUUGAUCUCAGUAGAUUUUAUUUAACUUAGAACGACACGGACACAAUUUCUUAUACUCGUAGUACUAGUACUAUUUGGGAACGAAGCUGGUACUUAGAGUAUUUUUUUUUCGUGAUUCAAGUAUUUUUAUUGAGUGCCUUAAUGAACUCCAUUUUUCAUUUUCGACUCCGAUGUGGCAUGGGCUUUGCCGCAAGAAAAAAAAACAUCGAAAAAAUGGAAAAAAAGAAAGGAAAAGGAAACGGUAAAGUGUGAAAAGGUUUUAAAAAUGCCAGCGUGGGGUCCACCCAGUUUGAGGUUGACGACGACAAGUAGUUGCAGCAGCAGAGGAGUAUUUCUUUCUCCCUUCCGUGCGCCCAAAUUUCUCCUCUCCCCCCUUCCUUCCUGCUCUCUCUUCUUCGCCAUUCGGGACCUCUUUCUUCUCCAAUCUCGCUACUAACUCCUCUCCGAUCAACCGGUCCAGAGACGGAGGCGCAGCAGACGCACCGAGGUAACACGGAGAUCCAUCCCGCCCAACCAUCUUCUCCUGCCCCCCCUCUCAUGAUUUCUGGUGUUUCUGUUGGUUGUUCUUGUUAUGGGAUUGGAUUCGGUUGGAGCUUGGAAGAACACGCGCGCCGUACAUGCAUUCGGCAACGACAGCGGGGGUUUAUUUCCGAUUUCAAGACCCAAGAACGGAUUUUUGGGACGGAUUUGGGGAUUGGGAUGUUUCUGUCUUCCGUGCCGUCGACUCCCGCCCACCUCUGUUGACUUGGACCUCCGGCCCUUUAAUUUUUUUAUUUUAGGAUUUUUGUUCGGGGGAUUUGUUCUUGUAGUAGUACUAGCUCUUUAUUUUUUUUGGAUCAUUGGGAUUUGGAAGGGACAGCCUGGCCUUCGGGUUGAUCGCCAACGCCCCCGCCUUCGAUUUCACCAACCUUCUUCUUCUUGUUGGUGCGAUUCAAGUUUCAGGCUCCCGAUUUGCUCAGCGUUUCUGACCAUCUGCGCCUCGAUUUGCUAGGUCAAUGCUUGCUCGAUUCCAACCUUCGUGAGCAGUAGUGAUCAAUGGAUGCAUCCCAUUUUCUUUCUCUUUCAAAUUUGUUGACUUGGGAUUUUACUCUAUCUUUUGUUCUCCUGUCGGUUGGUUGGUUUGCUUGUAUUGACCCAGUAAUGGAUGGAUACUAAUGGCGUGCUGCUUGGCUGAACUGGUCAGGCGAAGGCGACCGCCAACCACCCCGGAGGAGAUCUGAGACCCGACCGACCGCCGCCUGCUGGAGGGGGAAGCUGGUGGAGCAGCAGGAAGGGCCGUAUGCUUGUCGCAGGCCAUGUGCCCGGACAUGAAUCCGCGCCAUACAGCAAGGUAGUCUAGUGUUUGAUUCCAGGAAUAUCGCCAUACUGUGUUAUGAAUUUUGUGUCCCAAUUCAUAGUCAUAGGUUCCAUGGGAUGCUCAGGAAGGGCUCUGUAUCAAUGAAAUUUCCUGUAUCAAUAAGCCAAUUGUAGUCUCGGACACCUGGUAUAUGCAGAACCAGAAACUUGCUUAGCCUUUAAUUCAUUAGUGUCGUCUGUUAAACAAUGGAAUGGAAGUUCCUUUAGUUUUCUGGUUUCUGGUCUUGCACGCCUGAAACGUCGGUCAACUCUUCGACACUAACCUGAUGCUGUGUUUGGGUAAACCUGAAUGAAGAUAUUUUGUUUAUUUCUCCGGUCACCUAACCCUGUGGAUAUUUGAUUUUGGACAACCUGGUUUGGUAGAGAAGUGCCCUUGAGGCAAGGGAACUUCCUCAUCAGAUAUUUGUGUCUUUGACUGUGUCUGUGUUUUCUAAAUCCCAUUCUGACCCGGUCUUCUUUUCGUACUGGCAGUCAAGUUGAAUCAGAGGUUCUAGACGGUAAUCGUAACCAUCACAGCCAGCUUGAUGCUGAUCAUCUUGUACAAAUUGGGAGGAGUCCUAUCAAGCGUGGUAGCAACAAUCUGUCCACAGACGACAAUUUCUCCUCGAGUGCCUCUUUGCAUAAACAUGAACAUGUGAGCUCCGAUCCAUCGGCCCCUAAGGCCGAUGACCGCUCAAUUAAGUCUGGUGAUGAUUCUGAUGGGGCUGAGAGUACCAAUGGCAAAAGCAACAAUACGGACUCCCCAGGUACUGAAAAUGAUAGCAUCUGGAUACCACCUGAAGCUGCAGACAAGGGAGAUGAGACCGAGAGUAACAUUGCUUAUGAUGACGACGAUGACGAUUAUGGUGAUGGAAUCAAGUGGGGCCAGUCAAGUUUCCCAGCCGCUGGUGAGGAACACGAGGCCAGCCCCAAUCCUAAGGAUGAGCGAGAAAAUGCAAUGUUGGAAGCUAUGAAUGGACAACUCAAGAUACUCGUGAGUCGGUUUUUGGCCUCUGCUGGUAUCCCCUUUGGAAAAGGAGAGAGUAGUGAGAGUUGGCUCGAUAUUGUGACCUCCCUGUCGUGGGAAGCUGCACUACUUAUCAAACCUGAUUCUACCAUCGGAAAGGAAAUGGACCCUGGCUCUUAUAUCAAGGUCAAAUGUGUAGCAUCUGGUACUCGCUGGCAAAGGUGACACAUUUGUUCACUUAAAGGUUUUUUAAAAUAUAAUGUAUUCUAUCUGCGUGUUUGGUUAUACACGUUCACUUCAUAACCUUGACUGCAGUGAGGUGAUCAAGGGAUUAGUCUUCAAGAAGAACACUGCUCAUAAGCACAUGCCGACCAGUUGUCACAAUCCUAGGCUGCUACUACUGGAAGGAGUCCUGGGGCACUCUGAUGUUGGUUUAUCAUCGUUUAAUUCAAUGAAUCAGGUUGGUCCUUUCAUAUACAUAUGCACAUUGAAUUGUUUAUAGUAAACGCCGUUUAUUUUUGUUGGAUAGAAGAUUAAGACAUCUGUUCCGUGCCUUUAACAAUUAGGAAAAGGACCAUCUGGAGAGGACUAUAAGUAAGGUGAUUGAUAUAUGCAGUCCCAAUGUUAUCAUGGUUGAGAAAACUGUUUCACGAGACAUACAAGAACUUCUAUUAAGACAAGGGUGUACACUAAUUCUUGAUAUGAAGCUCAGCCGGUUGCAAAGAAUUGCACGCUGUACGGGUUCUCCUAUAAUAUCAUUUCCAGAAGUUCUGGAUAAACCGAAGCUGAAGCAGUGUGACUACUUCCAUAUUGAAAAAUUCAUUGAAGAACACAACGAUGCCAGUGAAGGUGGGAAAAGACUGUCUAAAACAUUAAUGUUCUUGGAAGGAUUUCCCAGGCCAUUGGGUUGCACGGUAUGUCUACCUAACUAGUAUUACAUGUAUGAUGCAUUUUAUACAUUUUCAGUUCCAUUCUUAUUUUUUCCCUAAGAUUGUUUAUUUUCCUCCAAAAGCAAAAUAAAUAAACUAUGCCACGGAGUAUUUUUCCUAUGUCUUUUCUUCCCUGAAAUCUCCCCAACCAAAGCAUCCCUUUGUAUGGAAGUGAAAUCCAUAACCAGAAGUUGUUCCAGCUUACUGUGGACAUGUCUAUUACUUCGACCAGUUAUUACUUCUUAAUAGCUGGCUUGUAGACUGUAAUUAAACAUCUUCUCUAUUCGAGUGGUGUGUGGCCAUAAAAUUUUACGGUUUGACUAAUAAGGCAGAGAACCAAGGUGAUUACAACUUGGCAGGAGCUAGAUACACUUAUGGUGCUUUAAAGUAACAAACCUGGUUUUGUUUGUGGUGAGAUCCAUAGUAGUGGUAUGUGCUUUUAUCAAUUAUUACGAUGAGUGAAUACCAAUUGAUAGUGAUAUAUUCCUGCAUAUUAGUUACAUUCCACUGAACAAAUAGUAAGUGACAGACCAAAUUGUGUUUCAUGGAUUGUUAAAUUAUCUGAGUGACAAUGGUUCCUUUCUCAUCCAGAUACUGCUCCGUGGAGCAAAUACUGAAGAAUUGAAGAAAGUCAAGCAAGUCAUGCACUACACAGUCUUUGCAGCAUACCACUUGAUCCUCGAAACGUCUUUCUUUGAAGAUCAGCGGGUAUUCUUAAAUGAUAAAAAUGUUUCCAAAGAAAAUUAUGUCACCGCUAUGGUAGGGCCUUCAGCAAUUGGUGAUGAUACGGCUGUUCUGGGUUGUGCCAUCCCUCCUUCACAUGAUGAUUCUCCAGCACUUAAAUUAUACCAUGCCACUUCUAAUAUCUAUGCGGAUGGGAAGAAAUCUCUCAGUUAUACAAAUGUAGAUGCUCCAGUUUCAAUAACAAACAGCUCUUUGGAUGAACUUGGAGAAGGUGCAAAUGUCCGGCAUAGCUCAACAUCACCCCUUCACACUGGAAGGCUACCACCACCAGUAUCAGGACCAUUAAGAAAAUUUGCUGACAAGUUACAUCGUCAUAAUAUUUAUUUACCUGUCACAUCAUUCCAAGAAACAACUGAUAAUAAAAUAGAAGGCAGGGUUGAAUCUAGGAAAGAGAUGGUUAGUAAUGGAUUUCAUGUUGGGUCAAAGGUGGAAGAGUCUGCAGCUUCCAGUGAAAUUUUGGAUGACACGAAAGAUCUCUUAAAACAAGAAAGGAUCCAAGAAGUAAUGCCAUCAGGUUCUUCUGGGCAUGGCAAACAUGAGGAAUCAUCCGCUAUGGCUGAAGAUGGGGAACAUCACAGCACCAGUAUCAUCAGCAAUGGGAACAUUUCUAACGAAGAUCAAGCCGAUGAUGCACUUGAUUCUGACAGUAUACUGAUUUUGAUGUCUAGCCAAUGCAUCACAAAGCAGAUUAUAUGUCUCCCGAGCCAACUGUGCCGUAUAAAAUACUACGGGAACUUUGAUUUGUCCUUGGGGCGAUAUUUGCAAGACAUUUUGCAGAAUCAGGUAACAACAGUUUACCACUUCUUCGUUUGUUCACACAUUGUUCUUAUUUACACUGAAUAUUAUAUUUUUGUGCUAGUAAUGUACAUUUUAUUUCGGCUCCAUUGAUACUCUUUUUUGCGAUGUUAUUUGGCUCACUAAUAUUUAUUCGUACUAGAAAGCAAGCUGCUCAUCUUGUCAAGAGCCUCCAGAGGCUCACAUAUAUUCUUACACUCAUCAAAAUGGGAAUUUGACUGUUCAAUCAAAGAAUUUGGUGUCCCAACAUCGCUUACCUGGCGAAUCCGAAGGAAAAAUAUGGAUGUGGACUAGAUGCUUGAGAUGUGAACAUGAACAUGGGACAUCUAAAUCGACUCCUAGAGUGUUAAUAUCAUCUGAAGCGCGCAAUCUCUCUUUUGGGAAAUUCCUGGAACUCAGUUUUUCAAGUCACUCCGCAGCGAGAAGGCUAUCCAUAUGUGGGCAUUUGGUGAACAGGGACUGCUUGCGUUUUUUUGGGUACGCUCGAUGUACUUUUCACAUCAAACAAAAUUAUUUUUUGGCUGCCUUUAGAUGUAACUAUUUCUUUAAUGAUAAUUUCUUUUUCUUACUGACUUCAGGUUGGGCUCCAAAGUUGCAAUGUUCCGCUACUCCUCAGUAGAAAUUUACACUACCUGCAAACCACCACCCACCCUCCACUUCGACAACCCUAGCAGACAGAAUUGGUUUGAAAAAGAGAGGAUACAUGUAUGUCUUAAUACUCUCUACCAUUACCAUCUCAUAGUUGUCUCCAGUACAUGCAUAGUAAUACUUUUUUUUUUGCACUUUCAAAGAUUCUUGCUAGAGGUAUGAAACUUUUUUCUGAGGUAGCAACCUUGCUACAACUCUUGAAGAAUCAGCAUCAUGAUGUGACAGCAACCAGUUGUGGCACAUUUGACCCUGUUAAGGACUUCUCUGAACUCGAAGAGUUGUUGAUGAAAGAAAAGGCCGAUUUUGAGGUAGGCAUCCUUGUCUUAAUUUCUUUUAGACUGGAACUUUGUAUGCCAAUGAAUUUGUUAUGUUUAAUUUAUAUUUAUGGGUUACUAUCUUUAUUUUUAUGCAGGAUUCAUUAGUAAAGACAAUCAACCAAAAUGGGAGAUCAUCCUCAUCUGUGCAUGAGCUUCUUAAUAUAAAUUGGUCUUACCAGGAUGUUCUACUUGAACUUUAUGUAUGGGACCGUCGGCUCGACGAACUUUCUAUGUGUAAAUCUGCUGGGCAAGGGAGUGUUGGUAAUAGCAAUAAUCCUAGCGGAACUGCAGACAAGAUUUCUGGGGCCAACUACGAGAUUGACAAGAAAAUUGGUGAACUGACGUGUGAUAGAACUAUGACAGCUGUGAGGUCAGAUGGUACCACUGAUUGCACUGAUUGCACAAGUAACAAUAUUCCCAUUGACCAUCAAUCUGGUGAGACCGCAGCACACUUGCUUGAUGAUAGUCAGGGAGCUGGCAACUCUGAACCUUCUUGCAGUGAAGGUAGUAAAGAUGAAGGAUCUCGAUCUCUCAUUGCUCCUGAUCAAGUAGAGGUAGAGAGCACGCCACAAAACCAAAAAGUACCUUCACUUGAAGUUUCAAGUCAUACAGAGGUCCAGGGUAACGGGGUAGUUGCACAUCCAGUUUCCAAGGAACAAGAGCCUUCAAGCACUCUCCAGAAGUUCAGAAGUACUGAUUGGGAUGACAGUGAUAGAUGGAUUUGGAGUUCAUUUUGUGAGUCUCAACUGGCUUACAGGAAGGACAUUCAAAUGGGAUGUUUGGAGAAAUUUUAUCUUGUUAACCAUUACUCCCCAUCUCACCUCUCCCCCUUGUUUGAAAAACAUGAGGAGGUGGACACUCCUCAGUUCACAGUUGGCCCCGGUGGUAAUAUUUUAUGUGUAUUGGAGCAUGAGGUAUCUAGUAUAAUAGCUCGUGCUCUCGCCAUAUCUGAGGAACGUAGGCAGGAUACCAUAGUCGAGAACGAGACGGGGGAGGGCAGGGUGGAGCAUGGUAAAACGAUGGAGAAAUCCUAUAGCUUUUUCUCUGAAGGUUCUUUUAGCUCGUCACCAUGGUCAUCUAUUGGAUCAUUAGAUUCUGAAGCAAGCUUUUCAUCUUCUAUUUCGUCAUAUCCAUCUGACGACCUCUCUGGUUAUGAUACCUUGCCUUUAUUGUCCUUGGUACACCCAGAAAUCACUGUGAACGGAAAAGUAACUCUCAGAGGCAAAUAUUCGGUUACUAGUAUAUAUUCGAACCAAUUCUACCUUCUUCGAAAGAAGUGCUGCCCAUCUGAGCUUGCAUAUAUUACUUCCUUAAGCCGCUGUAAGAAGUGGGACGCUCAAGGUGGAAAGAGUAAGGCUUUAUUUGCAAAGACAUUGGAUGACAGGUUCAUCAUAAAGCAAAUCAAGAAAACAGAGUUUGAGUCCUUCAUAACAUUUGCCCCUGAUUACUUCAAGCAUGCUUACCAUUCUCUAGACACUGGCAGCCAAACUUGCCUUGCCAAAAUAUUAGGAAUCUAUCAGGUAGGUUUUUUUGACAACUGAUUUCUAUUCGAUUUAUUUCCUGACUUCUAUUGGGUUUUCAUAUGACUUGUUGUUUCAGGUCAAGCAAAUAAGGCAUGGCAAAGAGAUCAAAAUGGAUCUGAUGGUGAUGGAAAAUCUCAUGUUUGGGCACAAUAUUUCACGAAUUUAUGACCUUAAAGGUGCUAUUUUUUCACGACACAUCGCCAAAUCAAAUGACCCUGACACUGUUUACUUGGAUCAAAACUAUGUUGAGGACAUGCGUGUAUCUCCGAUCUAUAUUGGUGGAAGAACGAAGCAUCUUUUGCAGCGUGCAAUCUGGAAUGACACAUCAUUCCUCACUGUAUGUAUAAUGCAUAUCCUAUAUCUGCAGAUAAUCAUGUUUUCAAAUAAAUAUAUGUCCUAACAAAAUUAUUGUACUUGCAGUCAGUUAACGUUAUGGACUAUUCUCUGCUUGUGGGAGUGGACAAAGAAAAGAAUGAACUUGUGUUUGGCAUCAUUGAUUAUUUGAGGCAAUAUACUUGGGACAAACAGCUGGAGACAUGGGUCAAGAGUUCUUUGGUUCGAAAAAAUGUUUCACCGACUGUAAUUUCACCCAAGGAUUACAAGAAAAGGUUUAGAAAGUUCAUGGCCAAGUACUUCCUCACAGUUCCGGAUACUUGGAGUCCCGAGAAUUCUUCUGGGCCAUACAAAUCCUUUGGCCAUAGCAAUAGCAAGUUGGUAGAAGCCGAUAAUGAUGACAACCUGCUUCAGCAUCCAAUUGAAGCUGAGGCAUGUGUCUAGUUCUGUUCAGGCUGGCAUGUGUCUAGGCUAUUCAGGACUCCUCUGACAGUGCUGUUGAAGCCUAUCCAGUCGUCGUCGUUGUUGUUUCUUUGGCUUGUUUUCGCUUUGUAAAAUUGUGUACAUAUGAGGGCCUCACAAUUGACCUUUCCAGAAGUUUGCACCUUUUAGGCAGAUUACUGGGCAAGUGAGGCCCACAGUACAUGUACCUAUACAAAUGUAAAUUGUUGAUUUCACAAUUAUUAUAGUGAAAUUUACAAAAUUGGUAUGAUUUUUUUGGGAUCUACUAGGCUGAAGCCUUUUCUACUUGCUUAAUUAUUUCUUAUAAUGCCUGACACGGCUAACCGUCCAUGUUGGACUUCUGAUCUCUGUUCAAAUUUGAUCAGUUUGAUCCGUAUUUGACUUUCAUUACUCCGCUAUAGUUACAUUCAUGGAAAUGGCCAAUUUAAUGCCUCUUGAUCUUACUGCACACCUUAUGAAGAACAUUUUGUUGUCAGAUGGACAUUGUCUAUUUUGUUGUGUGCACCCAGUCACUACAAUUUUGCAGAUCUGCUGGUAUGAUAUGUACUGCUUACUUUCUUUCAUCAAUCAGUUCCACGUAUUAUUUAAAAUGAGUGAAAUCAAGUUAAACUUGUUUGUUCCAAGUUUGUUCCUUGAAUUUUGUUGUAAUAUGUGUUUAUGCCCCAAUCUCUCUUAUGAUAUCAAGAAACAGAAUAUAAUUUGAUUCCUGUUUGUUUUCAGGAAAUAACUCACUGGGGAGGACACCACUCUUUAUAAGUCCUGCAUCACAUAGUAGCUGCCUGGUGACAUGCCUCAUCUAUGCAGUUGGUCUAUGACUCUAUGUUCUAUACUUUAUUGCUAUAUAACACUUGAUAUUUUAUAUUCUCAGCUUUGACGAGGCAAAUUGUUAGUAGAUCCUAAAAUUAACUAUUUAUUUAAUUUACACAGUACACACUUUGCUGAUAAGGGAUGCUCCAAAGUAAUGCUCCAGUUCCUUUUCUAGAACCACUGGUUAUUUAAAUUGGUGCAUUUUCAGGAGAAUUAUCUAGCAUCCUGUAAUGCAAUUUCUGAUUGAUCAGAUAAUUGAUGGAAAGAACUUUCUGUGUAUUCACUUAGCAGUCUGGCUGAUACUUAACAUCUACUAGUGUGUGCAAUCCAUAGUCUGGACCAUGAACAUCGGCAGGAAGGGAUUCCUGCAAAUGAACAUGUGAGACCUCGGUGAGUUAGUUCAUUUUAAGCUUUCUUAUUUUCUACCCUUGCAAAACUUUGUUGACUAAUCCACAUAACCCUUUGUUGAACUUUAUAGUGCGUAGCACAUUUUUCUGCAGCUAUAAUCUUAUCAUACUAUCUUAUAAAAAUUCCUGAUGAAUGUUAAACAUGUGUUUUUAUCAUUUGGCUGCAUUGGUGGAAUGGUAGAUAGUAACAGUAUACAUUUCCAAGAAAUGUGGUAUUUGAAUAUAGUCCCAUUGAUCUUCCCAAAGAGUUGCAGUGUGUGCGUGCUUCUUUCCGAGAGUCCUAUAUUUGCAUUUAUUUUUCACUGAUUGUUUCAGUGAGUAUGAAACUAUGAAUUCAUAUGCAGUGUCGCUUGUGAAGUUGGCUUUGCAGCAUUUAUCUCAAGACAUUCCUUUUUCCCUGUCAUUUUAUUACUAACGCCGUCCAAACAUAACGAGCACAAUGCAAAACCACCUUCGCCCACUUUUCCAAUUGGAGUUGCUAUUUGUGUCUUAAUACAAUUCUUUUUUUGCUUCCAAAAUGGCACAUAUACUGUUGUUAUAUAUGUGUGUGUUCAUGCUAAACUUUCUAGCUCAUGCCUUGUGAUCAGGAGAUUAUGUGUUGUCACAAUGUGCUUGAGAGACAUUCUUGGGCAUGUCGUGCCACUUGCAUCUUUGUUUUCAUGACUGAUGAAUACACUGGGUUACGUGACAGAUGAACUCAUGUUAGUUUUUCGAGCAGAGUCUACCUCUUGCUCAUUUGCGAGCAGUACUGAUUUGAAUAAAUGAUAGUACAGUACCUCAGAAGUCAGAGCACUGCUUGGAACAGGCGGUAAUUUGCUUCAACUGUAAUCUACACAUAUAGUCACAUCCGCUGAAUCUUACAUAGUUAACUUUUAAACAUGAAUAUAAGAAAUUGUUGACACUUCCUUCCCUAUAGUAGCAAGAGGCAGUAGUCUGCUAUUGUACCAAUCAUCAGUCAAGGAGGUAAUCCACAAGAAUGGGGUUGGCAUGCAUCUCUUUUCUCCUUUUCACUUUUGCAGGAGGGCAUCAAAUACAUUGGCAGUAAGAGUAUGACCAGAGGGAGGACUUUUAGAUCAUUGCAGAGUGGCUCAUCAUGAUUGCGUGGAUUCUAUGCAAGUCUUGUCAUUGAGAGGGAGGUUACAAAAGGAUUGUCUGGAGAAGGUGAUAAUCUGUGUAAUGAUGCUGAUCCUAACAUCACUGAUUCAUAUAGAUUGGCACACCAUAUUUUUUUUGAAAGAGAGAGAUUGGCUCACUAUAUUUUGAAUUCUGGAUUUAGGAUUGUAAUAAGGAAUGAGUUUUCUCUCGUACAUCUUUGAGAUUUCAUUAAUCAUUUUUUUUUGCAGUGCUACUCUCAGUCUGUUUGAAGUUCCCAUUAACUGCCGAUUUUGAACAGUAAGCAUUCAUCCUAGGUGCUAAUUUUAUUACACUGCACUGCAAACUCUUUCAAUAGCUCUUUCAAUAGCUGAAUGCUUUGUAGGAAUAAUGUCGCAUUAGAUUUUUCUCAUUUCAUUUUUGAAUUUUUUUUGUUUAGUAGCUAAUGAUGAAUUGAUCAAAUCUGAAGAGAGAACUGUGGCAUGGCACUGAUGUUUUCUUGGUUGCAGAUCCUGCUUUAGCAAAAAGCAGUUGGUGUCGCCAUUUCAGUAUAAGGGAUUCGAUUUGGUCGAUUUAUGCUCAGCUUUUUCCUGGUACUGGCAGAAGCUGCCUGAACCCCAAAGUAUGGAGCAUGGAUUAUGCUGCUGCUUACCAUCAUUUCUCUACUGUAUAACCCUGUAAAGCAGCUCAAAUCAAUCAAUUUUGCAUUGCAGCAGUUGAGGGCAUUCUCCUUUUUCCUGGAACCGAUGCCUUCGAGUUCAAGGUGAUCAUCAUGUCCCAAUUCCAGAAGGCGAUCUCAUGAUUCUACAACCAAAACGAUGACUGCUGUCGGAGAUCAUAUGGAGAAUCAUGUCAGGUAACUCGUUUUUUUUUUCAAAGCCACACUAAGGUGUGUAUUGUCCCUAAUUCCUUGCCUUGUCAUCUUCUCUAUUUGUAGUAAAAUAAUCAAUCUUUACUCUGCCAGUCGCCAUGGCAACUAGUGGAGUGAUCAAUGAUAAGGAAGGUGAUUAGCCUACCACCAAAGAACAAAAAGAAGACGCAAAAGAUGACAAGCACAAGAGUUCAUUUUAACACCCCUAGUUGCACCCUUUUUGUCUCUGUCCAACAAGCUGCCCACAUCUCCACAGCACUUUUCCAGUUACAGAAAAGGGCAAAGAGUCGCUUCCCUUUUCCAAUGCAGAUUCUUCCUUUCACUAUCAACCAUUAUAUCAUUCAUCCAUGGAAGAAACUCCGCCUAGAUCAAUGCAUUAAAAAUUACUACACAUAUUCUGAUUCUGAUGCUCAUAAUAGGUAGGCCUAAGCACAAACUGCCUGCCAUCACCAUUGCUGCUUAAAGAAGACACGAUGCAAAGAUGAUAGACACACACACUAGCUGGCUAGCUGCUAUGGUAGCUAGAGAGAGUAGCUAGAUUACCCAAUCACAAAAGCAAAAAACACCUACAUUUUUCUUAAAAUUGUUAGCCUAGUUGUACUAUCUACCAUGCCCUGUUUGUUUCUGCUAAUAGCUGCUGCAAACUCCGAUCAGCUUCAGCGAUGGCUGCACAGGUCAGACAGCAUCUUCCUGCCUUCCACAAUCUCAUCAAAGAAGUCAUCCAGUUCGCCGACGACACUCUCCGCACCUGACUGCAGCACCCCAACCCAGCCUUUGAUGAUCUCCACCCUCUCGGCGAUCUCACCGGGGUCGGCAUACCCUGUGGCGAUGACCCUGUCGAACUCUGCCUUGAGGCUCUCGAUGCCGGCCCUGGCCUGCCGGAACUCGUACAUCAUGACGCCAGAGCCAGAGUGCUGCCCGGCUACUGCCUCCAUCUCCUCGGCGACGCGCUGGCGCAGGCGCCCCAUGGAGGAGACGUAGCCAGCACCCGUGGCACGGAACAUGGGCGCACAGCCAAGGUCCGGGAGGCAGGAGACCGUCCCAGAGAUGAGGAUCAUGAGGAGGAAGGAGCUGGCGUUGCGCAGCGCGUAGAGCACGCCCCGGAAACCGUUGAAGGCGUUGAGCUUGAACUCCACGGGCGACCGGUCGUCGAGCAGCAGCGACGCUGGGUCGAUCCUAGCCUCCGCAAGCGCCCGGUUCUCCUGCUCCAGCCCAACAGCCUGCCGCCUUGGCGCGUUGAUCGCACGCAUCACCUGCCAGCCAGUAGGUGUCAAUGAUGUGAUCAGAAUCAGAUAUAUUCAGAUCAAUAGAGGCAGGGGGGGAUCGUCGAUCGGACUGUACCUGACGGGCUGUGUGUGGGUUGGGGCUGCAGAGCCAGUCGUCGAAGGCGGCAUCGAUGCGGGUGGCGGAAGCGCAGUAGGUGUCCAGCGCGGUGGCGCCGGCCUUGACGACCUGGCAGGCCUCCCAUAGCCGGGAGGUCUCGUCCAUGUACUCGUCCAGCCAGCUCUCACCGGGCGGCAGGUGGAGCCGCUGCACCAGGUGGACGAGCUGCGAAUGCAGGGACCGGAGCAGCGCCGCUGCCUGUUGGAGGAACGGCGCCGACACGAACGCGCCCUCCGGCGACGAUGACGAGGCGGCCAGCGUGCCGUGGAGUUCGUCCAGGCCGUGCGCGAUGGAGGAGUAGAAUCCGUUCAUGGCGACUCUAUUUGUUGUAUAACUGGGAGCAGCAGAGCAGAGCAAAGAUCGAGAUGAGAAGAGAGUGUGGUGCAUGGGAGUGGAGGCUCUGCGCUGAGCUGGAACAGAGACUCUCGGUCAGCUUAUAUAGAGGAAGACUAGAAGACUGGACUUAGAGUGAGGGCAGUGAGUUGUACUAUGGGGAAGCAAUGAUGGUUUGUCCGGCGGUCAGGGGGAAGGAUGAUUGGGGACUGGGCUGGGCAGCCAUUGCCAGGACUCCUGUAUGUGCUCCUCCUCUUCAUGACCAUUCUAAUGGCAUUGCCAAUGCUUGAGAGCUAGUCCUACUAGCAUGCAAUGGAAUGCAUGGGAAAAUGUACUUACUCAGCCUAGCUAGCUGCCACAGCCAUUUUAAUUUCCCCAUGAAUAUCCCACCAGUUAAUUUCCCCAUGAAUAUCCCCCCACUCCAGUACUCCUACUCCAAUUCUUGUCUUGAGUUGCAUACUGCUGGUCCAGAUUCAAGGGUAGGGACCAUUUGCCAUUGACAGUGUACUACUGGCGAUUGAUUAUGAAGUUGUUGGUGCUAAUCAAGGACUCACUAGUGCUACUACUACUUGAGCAGACAGCUGUCAUCUGCUGCUGCUGCUGCUUUCCAUAUUCUGAAUCCGGGUGGGAGGGAGGAAAAAGGAGGGGGGCCAAUGUGCCGGGCCUCUGCUGGGAGCACCAUCAAUAAGCAGCAAGGAAGCAAAGAGAAGCAAGCGCUGGCUGCACUGCACUCCCCUGUCUGGCCUUCCCAAUGCACUCAGCCACCUGUUAGUCCAGAAAGGAAACAUUUUUCCUGGAUACAUGAACUCUAUGGAGUAUAUUGACCAUUGCAGCCACUGUGGGUACUUCUUUGCAACAACAUAUAUAUAUAUAUAUAUAUAUAUAUAUAUAUAUAUAUAUAUAUAUAUAUAUAUAUAUAAUAUAUAUAGUAUGGCAGCUAGCUGCAAGCAAAUGUGUUUGUUUUCUUGUUCUUUUUUCUUUUGUGCAGGCCUGAAGAGGAGCUAGCUUCUUCUUCUUCGAGAUGCAUGGGAUGCGUUGCUGCAUGAGCCAAUAGGAGCAGAGGAGUAUGAGGACAAAGUUUCAAAGGUGGCAGGGAGUCCUAGAGAUGUGUCGACAAGGUGAGCUGUACUCUACUGCUUACUUGCCCGUGGAUUAGUGGGGCACUUAAUUUAAUUUGCUUGAAUUGAUGUUAGGAGGAAUGAUGGGUUUCCUUGUACCCGUACAAAUCUCUCAGUCCGCGGCCAACACAACCCCCAUGCUUCCAUGCAAUGCAAUGCCAAUGCAAUGGCUUGGCCGCCUUUUGAGGUCCUUCUCCCUCUCGCCCGGGCCUCCAGUCCGGCAAUCAUGCCCAAUAUAUGCUCUCGUGCCCCCUUCUUCUUCCUCUCCAUUAUGACUACUCCGUUUCUCUAGGGCACACGUCGGGCCCCGCAUGUCGGUCAAGCCCUUGAGAAACUCAUGACAGUCUUAAUUCCAACACACAACUUCUACAAAAAAAAAAUGUUUCUAUUGUGAUGAUACUGUGUAAAUUAAGAAGACUACAAAUUAGUCUGGAUUGACAACAUUUCUAACAUAGUCUAUGUUGCUUGUAAAACAUGCAUGCUUGUAGUAUACUAGUACUGCAUAUAUGCGGUGGCUUCAUUAUAGUAUUAGGAUUGUCUUUUUGGUCCAAUCCAAUUCAAACACCACAGCUUCAUCGGUGCAUGCAAUCCAUCUCGUGGCAAGUGCUAAACCCUUUUAAGAAAUGGAGCUCGUGGGGUUUUGGGAGGAGGCGAGGGGGAUGUGGAUUUGGUUGGGGAAAUCAAAGGGGAUGUGUGUUGUUUCCUUUGCCCUAACCAAGAACAAAGAUUAAUUAAGCUAAAUCUUACUCCAUGAUCCAUGCAUCAGCUAGGAGCUACCUUUGAAAUACUACUACUACUUGGCCAGCCGUGCCGUACAUGCUGCGUGGUUGACCGGUGGGGGUCCAAGCACCACUCAUCGGCCGGCCAUGAAUAUUCUUCUUGUCCUCUUCCUGCUCUCUCUCUCCAGUCCUAUAAUCCAUGCAUUCAUCUCACUAUGUAUAUAUAGGCUCAUUGCAAAUUAAACAGAUCAUAAAAAGCAAAGAUCAUCUGUUUUUUUUAUUUAGAUCAAGACGGUUCGACUCCCAUAAUUGAAUUAGAUGAAAAGACCAUCUGCUAAACGUUUGCCAAACAGAAGAACAUACAGUUCAUAUGCAAAACACUUUUAUUGUCGGAAAAAGCACAUUUUUUUGGUGUGUGUUCUAUCUAAUCAACUCUCUGUGUCUUAUGUGUUAUAUACUAUCUAAGUAAACUGUUUCCUGCAAAUUUUUCCGUGGCGCGGUCUCUAUUCCGCAUCCGCAAUAUAUCCUCUCAAUUUCUUCACAUAUAAAUUUCCAUGAAUUAAUUUGGUUUUCAUAGCAACGAGAUCCAAAAGGGCAUUAAUUAUCUGCCUGCCUGCCACAGUAAUUUUACUUCUUGGAUAUACACACAUAUAUAGUACACUUACUAUUGGCGACCUUGUCCUGGACGCAUAACUCCAUUGUUUGCUCGAACUUGUAAAACAGGUGGUCACGGAUAUAUCUACGUGGCACACGUAUGCAUGUCUAGUCCAAAUUAGCAUAUGGGUUGGCGGCAACAGCAUGCAUACAUGAAAGCAGCAACGGCUAGCUUUUAAUUUAGCAUGUCUGGUCAGUCACACACACACACACACACACACACACACACUAAUUUUCUCUCUUCUUUUUUCAAAAUUUGUACAGACAUUAUUAUGAAAAUUAGCAGUACUACACUGCCAGUACAGAGUACUACUGCUACUGCUAGGUCUCAUGAUCAAAGUUGCUAGCUUAGCUAGGUGUGCUGUAGAGCUGUAGGAGUGUAGUAGUAGCUUGCAAUGGUGUGGCUGCUGGCUUGACCAGAACUUUGAAAAAUGCAUGCAAUGCAUCUAUGCUUGGACAGCAGCAGUCUACUACUACAAGUACUUAUCACUCUACAUACAGUACACAGAACAGAGAUCAAAGUUGCUGCUGCUGUUGUUCUUCUGAAGCAGCAGCCAUGCAUGCAUAAGGCUGACAGACGGUGGUGUUCUGUAUUAUAGCGUAGCUGGUUCUCGUUUGAUUACUGCUGUCAAGAGAACCCCGUGCGAUGCUACGGAACAACGGAAAGUGUAUCAAGCACGAGCCGGUGGAGGCGAAGUCUGGACAUUGAUCAACCGGCGCUCCCCUUUGAGUUGAGAUCUGCAGGCGCCUCCUCAGCCUCGUCAACGACGGUGUGGUUCUCGCUUCCCAGCAGGGGUGGAGAUCUCCAGCGGGCUUCUGCUUCCCUGUCUCCGUCACGCCUUGUAUCCUCGAUGGGGGUCUCUGGGUCGGUGGUCAGGGGCCGGACGAAAUCCCUGCCCGGCUGCGUCCGGUGCCAACGACGGCGACGCCUACGGGCGCCUUUACCUCCUUGGAGGCGUGGUCGUGGCCCCUGACCAUUCCUUCUCCAUCCUCGGGCUCCAGGGGAAACCCUUGGUUCGGUUUGCCAUGGCUCCGAAUCAGGCAGCAGCAGCGACACCUUGGCAUCGUAUCCUCCUUGGAGGCACUGCUUUGGUAGCCCGUGGGAGUUCGAGUGUCGUGGCAUGAGAUGGCAGCCUCUCUAUUCUUGGCGGCGAGGCUUGGUGGUAGCGCGAAGCCGGUGUUGAUCCUCUGCUCUGGGCGUUGGACUUCAAGGCGCGAUGUUCGUCACUAUCGGUUCCCUAGAUGAUGCAUCCUUCCCAAUUCAGUCUGGUCCAUUCCUCUACUUGCCGACCGGGGCUUGAUCUGCUUCCAGAUUGGCCUCCCUUCUUAGGCGUAUUGUUGGGGGUUGGCCAGGGUGGUCUUGGUGUCAUGGUCGCAGAUUUGGGUGUCCUGCAGCUAUCGUGAAGCGGCCUUCAAGGUCUUGUGCUCUGCCUUCUUUGCCCUAGGGCUGGAGGUGGGCAAGGCGAGUCUCAUGUCAUUGUGGUUUGAAGCUUGGUGGUGUCUCUUUAACCUGCUCUGACCCCAAGUUGGCUCAAGAUCUGUUGGCUGUAGGUCUAGGCUAGCUAGGGCUCCGUCUUAGGUCGUCCGGAGAGGACGGUCAUGUUUUUUCUUGCUUGGCCUCGCCGUUGGCGGGUGCGGUGCAUAUGUUGUAAAUCUUGUAACUUUUGGUUACUCACGCUUCUUUGCGCUUUCUUCUUAAUGAAAAUGACAUGCUUCCAGGCGUGUUCGAGAAAAAAAAAUUAGAGUCUGUUUUGAGGAACAAAUUGGCAGUUAAAUGCUUGAAGUUCAGUUCAGUUUGCUGCUGGAAUAAAGAAGAAACAACAAUUUUGAAUUGCGAUGAGAUCUAUCGAAGAACACAGCUAGCUCAUAUAUAAUGCUCUCCAUGGAAUUUGGGGUGAAAAAGGGAAGGAAAGAAGAGGAAAGCUGAAAAGAGGCAACUAAAGGAGAUGCUAGUCAAGUGUUCUCCAAAUUUUGUGUUGAAUGGCGGCUAUAUUCAUGAGUAGCAGCAAGUAGCCUAACUAGUCAAGUGUCCUUGCUGUGAUGAAUUGAAGCAGGCAGGGCAGAGCAGAGCUGUGUGUCCUCCUAGAAGCUAUAGCUAGACCUGAAGAAAGUGCAUAUCCUCCUCUAUCACUUUUCUCACCGCCAAGUUGUAAAGGGGAGAAAGACAUGCAUGGAAACUGCAAAGUUGCCUCGCUUUUACAAACCAUUGCCUUUUUGCAGGAUCUGAUCUCUAUUUCCUUUCCUGUUACCUCUCCAUGCAGCUGCUAUGCUGCUAUAGUAGCGUAUGAUCUUGGCCAUCCAUGCAUUUCUCCGUCUUGUAGCUCGGCUCGGCUGCCUAAUUGCUGGCUAUGUUGGUUGCUUUCUGGAGACAGAGAGGGAGAAUAUGCUCCAUGUUGUCCAAAAGGGAAACGCAAAAUCAAUUGCAUCCACGGUGGUUCGUUUCUUUCCUUCUCCACACUGUCUUUCUGUCUUCUUUUCUUUCUCUCUUACGUUUGUAUUUCUGAAUGAAUUGGUUGUGGUUUUACAUGUAUGUUGAUUUUUGUUUUAAAGCGUUUGCACCAACAUAUAAUACAGGCAGUUUUUUUUACAGUGCAAGAAAAGGAGAAGGACAGAAAUGAAGGGAAGCUGUAUAACUUUAACACAGCUGCUAUACAACUAUACAAGAGAAGAAGCAGAGACUCUGACAUUGAACUUGAUCAUGGGCCAUUUGGAAUAUGCUCUGACAUGGAGGUGGUAAACAAGCUCAAUCGGUUUAUCAAAAACCAGCAAGGUACAAGCAAGGGUCCAGACACUGAAGAACUGAACAAAAAGCAAGAUAAACCAGGCGAGAGAACCGCCCAGCAAAGUUGCAGACGCUAAACUAUCAGAACAACUACAAGAGUCACAAAACAUCACGAUAAGAAACAGAAAGGCUCAUUUGUGUACUAAGAUGAUAUAACUUUGCAAUAAAAUUGGCUGUGCGCAUCGUUUCAUCGUUUCGAUGCAGAGGCCGGGAAGAACCCCUUUUCGAAAAAAAACGGUUCGUCCUUUUCCAAUGAGCGUUCUCUAGCAUGAAUUCGAAUGUAAUUCGUGCACGUAAAUGAGUGGAAAAAAGAAUGCUGUUGCAAGGGGUUGGAUCAUACUGUCUAGGAGAUCUUAUCUAAUGACAUACAAACAGGAGGCGCUCGUGGCCUAAUGGAUAAGGCAUUUGACUUCUAAUCAAAGGAUUGUGGGUUCGAGUCCCACCGAGCGUGUUCUUUUUUCUUAAAUUUUUUUCAUUCAUUAUGCUUCCCAUUGAAACUUAUUUUCUUCAGCGCAUGCUAUUCAUAAGUCGUCUAAAAAGGAAUUUUUUUUUGUGCCAAAUUUUAGCAGUAAUCUUGUUGUAGCAUCGGCAACCCCAAUCAUGAAAAUAUAAAUUCAUAGAAGUGCCAGCAUAAGAUAAGAUGCUAUUAAUUUGUCCAGCAACUGAACACAGACGCUAGAAAAAUUCAGAUCAGGAUUCCAAGAACAAUAAACUGGGUGCAGCGACCAGCAUUAAAGCUUAAAGCAAUAGGGAUUGUAAUCCAGGGGUCAUCAAACAUAGUAGCAUUGUCACUGACACCAAAAAGAAUGUAUAUAUGCUGGAGCCUUUCUCUAUGCCAAAAUGCUGUUUAUUAAUUGUCUCUAUGAUUGUCAACAGCUAGGGACUAUGCAUUGUAUUGCUUCCUAGAUCUUCUCUUGCUUUUCGCCUACGAGGGGGAGCAUCUCCAUCCGGCUUCUCGGGGUCCGCGGGCUCAGGGUGGCGCCUUGCUGGGAGAUGAGAUGCCUCACGUAGCCGUAGAAGGUGCAGCCGACGAGCGUGAUCCCGCACCCGACCGCGUUCAUGGCGGAGAUCGGGUUCCGGAAGAUCAUCCAGGAGAUAAGCACCGCAGCAGCUACCUACACAGACCCAUCAUGGUACCAUCAGUUUCCCAAUGCUGAACUUUGUUUGUUGGACUGAAGAAGCAGAGUGAAGAGGAAUGGGGAUAUCAGUGCUCUCACCUUGAGGUUGCCGGCCACGUUGAAGGUCACGGCGGUCGUCGAAUGGAUGACGUAGAAGAUGGAGAAGUUGAGGCAGAAGGCGAGAAUUCCUGAGGUGAUUAUGAUGAUCAGUGCAGGGACAGUUGACUCGUAUGUGUAUAGCCAGUUGAUCACGCCGCCCCCUUCGAGUACAAUCGCUGGUACUGACAGUAUCAUGGUGGCAAAGGGUGCCAUGUAGUACACCGUGUUAAUGCUGCAGAGAGAAAAAAGGAACAGAAAACACAGGUAACCAAGAGGAAAAAUAUGCAAUAUCGUAAUUGAUCGUGUAGGUACUAUGAAAAUAUGAAGAAAUUCUACAUAGCAUGAUGACAACAGAAGCGCUAUUACAUUAUCCAUGAAUAACUCUGUUAAGAACUAUUGUGAAUUAUCAGAUGACAAGAACUACUUCCCCUUUUAUUUUUACUUUUUCUUGUUGUGAAGCUCAAACAGAUGCUAUAAGAUCAUUUCCUCUGUAAACUGACUGGAUCACUGUUUACCUGUCAAAUUUGUAUCCAUGGAGUAGGGAUUCUGCCAAGAUGGUCUUUGUAGACGUGGCGAGGCAGCCAACCAUGGCGGCACAAAAACCAAACAUGUUGAAGCUAAGCUCAGUUACUGAAGUCAAGAGGAUUCCCCCCACAAUAGGAACCAAUGAAGCCCAUAUGCGCCACUCAAAGUAUUUCCUCCAGACCAACCACUGCAGGAUAACUGUUCUACAACGAAUCAGAAAAUGACGCAACAGCAAGUGCGAAAAAGGCGUCGUCCUCGAAGAUGAACAAAUCAGAGAACCUGUCGUUGCAGGAGUGAAGGAUUUGAUAGUCUGCAUGAAGGAGACUGGGAUGUACCGCAGGCUGACAUUUCCCAGCACGAUGUUUAUGCAGAACACAAAUGACAUGGGGAAUAUCCUUUUCCAGCGAUCCUCGGGGGCAACCUCGAUCAGCGGUUUUAUCUUGAGCAUUUUGAUUGCGAUGUAAGCUCCGAUGGAAGAGCAUAUGAAGUGGACGCACGACACGGUCAGAGGAAAUUUGAACUCCAGUUUCUGCAUCCCAAGAAAAAAAAAAUCAAGUUCAUGCUUUUCUGCUGAGGAGGCUGCAAUAGUGCCACUGCCAUGAACUAAUUGUCAGUUUAAACUUGAAAGCAAAAAAAUGUUCAUUCCAAGAGAAAGAUGGUGGCAGAAGCCCAUGAGAAACAUCAGUCAUAUCGACUCUUCUACAUGUCAUUUGCGAUUAAGUAUGUUCUCAAAUAUUAUGGUACUAGUCCACAAAAACAUAUUAGCACAUAAUCAAUGUUAACUCCGAAGUCUGAACCUUGGGACAUUUUUCAGCUCACUAACGAAAUGGCUCCCAUCUCCAAUCCAUUUUGCGGAUUGUAAUCUACAUUAAAACCAAUAAUUACCAUCCCAAAUAUUUCCAAUCCUUCAUGUUUCUGAUUCUUCUUCCCACAAAUAUCUUCGUCUUAACUCCAAACCUAAUCCUUUUGUGGAGAAACCUAAUUCCAACAAUUUACAGCCAUGAAAAAGGACAAUCCCUUCAUAUUCCUAACAACAUGAUAAAUCAAAAGCCAGCUAAUCUGCUCCCCUGAUUGCGCAGAUCAACCCAUAAACAUGAACAAAUCCUCCGGAAGACGAGGAAAUCGAGAAUAUAUAUUGAAAGAAAAGUUGUAAGCAGAAUGGGACGGAGGGAGAAGAGCGGCCGCGAGACGGACCUGGAAGAUCCAUUUGUUCAUGAUGAUGACGGUGACGUUGAAGCACCACCAUUGGAGGAUGGCCAGCACCGCCCUCACCGUCGCCACGUUCCCCAUCUUCCCUUCCUCCAUAUGCAGCGCACAAAAACAACAAAGAUCCCCUGGAUUCAAUUCCAAUCCCACUAAAAAAGAAACGCCUUUAAUUUCUUCCAGCCGGAGUCCAGGAGAGAAGAAAAAGGCAGAAAGAGACAGAUGCUGGAACGGCUGGCGUAUUUAUGUGUAAUUAAUCAGUGGAAAACUCCUCUUGAUGAUCCAUUUGUGGAAGGCAGCAGGCUGGCUUCUAGAAGACCAUGGUGGUUCUUCUAGAAGGUUCCAGAAGCCGUCAAGGCGUCAGGAGAAGAGGAGGAGGAGGAGCUAGAGGGGUUUCGCUUUCGGUCGUAGGAUUUGCAGGUUGUGGUUUUUAGGUUGAGAGUUCGAUUGGUGUGAUUCUUGCCUCUCAUAAUACGUGUUGCCACUCUUCUUCUUCUUCUUCUUCUUCUUCCUCCUUCUUCUUCUUCUUCUUCUUCUCUUCUUGUAUACGUCAGCCUAGCCAGCUCAGGCUUGGACACGUGUCACGUGGGACCGUCUCAGCCGAGCUUGGACACGUGUCAUUUAAAAACUGUUUAAUGGGUCGACAUAUGGGCCUCUCUAUGAGACUCCCCUGGGACCUCCAACCAAUCCCUGCAUCUGCACAGAACACACCAUUCUUCUGAUGAAAUCAACAGCAUUUCAAGCUCAGCUCACCCGUAGAAAAGCCAGCUUGCAGCAGCCUUCUUCCCCUUCACCACCAACAAUUAUUUUACAUUCCCAAUCACAAAUCGAUAACAGAAAGCACAAACAAGUAGCUAGUCAAACAUUGUUCUAAAAUAUAUGUUCUUCAUCAUCAUAGAUCAGAGGGAUAAAAACAACAGGUGAUGAAGCACAAAACGUUGUAAACAAAACAGCAUCAUUCGUUGCUUACAGCAAACACCGAAUUAACCUCCCUUCUCCACACAGAAAGGGAAACAUCAAAUGGAGUAAUAACGUUCCAUGCAGAAACAGCCAACAUAAACAGUCUUCAACAGGUAAGACUUGUCCCUGUAAAUGUCAACUGCACAACUGACUGGUUGAUUCAACCAGUCAUGUCAGGGUACUGUAUAUGGCCCCUUCAAAGAGGGGGCCGCCAAAAGGAUCAUCCUUUUUCUUCUUUGAAUGUAAGCUUGGCCAAGCAAAAUGUUGCGGAAGAUAUUCUGCUUAUUACGUCUCUUUGCCACCAACUAGCUAAGAAUCCGACUGACUGGCAUGCUUCAUGUUCUUAUGUCUCUUCAGGACAGACAACUCGUACUUUUGCAUCCCUUCCCUCGCCCUCCGUAGACUGCACGACGGGCAAUACCACUGGCCUUUCGGGAUGCAGGUGCGCUUCGGCGUCAUGCAGUAUAUGUGAUAAGCUUCGUCACAGCCGUCGCACAAGGCGAUAUCUUUGUCAUCCUUAUUCUUGAAGCAGCAUCUGCAGAGACAGGACGGGCAGUACCAGCAUCCGAGGUUUUUCUGCUUCUCAGACGCGAUCUGGCUUUCUCUGAGGCAUCGGAUGUGAUAGAAUUUGUAAGAGCAGUAAGGAUGACCACAUACCAAGAAUCGCCUGUCGUCGUCUUCGCAUGUGCCGCAGUGUUUGCACAGCUUUGCAAGGGCAGUUGUGCACAGGUCUGGCUCGUUGUCUUCCACCACGCAUGGCACGGAGCUCCCCUCUCUUUCAUCAGCUAACUCCAUUCCACUACCAAUUUCAGGCGGUUCUAUUUUCUCAAGGACUUCAAGCCUGGCACACAGAGGACAACCAACAUGCAAACUGUUCUUGUGAACAUUUUUCAUGAUGUCUGCAGCUGACCCCUUCCCCUUAUUGCUGCAGGCCGGGCAGUGCCAGGUUGCUGGGAUCUGUUUCAUAGCAGGAUGGAGUCGCUUGACACAGUCAAAGUGGUACGUGCUGUCACAUCCAUCACAGAUAAGUCUUUUUUCUUCUUCUGCACCGUCUCCACAUUGCUUGCAAGUGCAAAUUCGACGAAGUCCACCUGUCUCGGUUCGCUUUGGAAUUGUAGAAUGACCAGAAUCACAUGGGGAGAACUGCACGGUGGUAGUCGAACCCUUUGGGAUUUUGUGGACGACACCAACCAAGCUUGUUUCCUGGUGAAGAAUGCAAUUAGUAAAAGGUGUUAAUAGAGUGCAACAACAACAAAAAAUGACCAGCAGACUGUCUCCAAACACACCAAUUACCUCUAUCCGGCGCUCAGCAGCAUCCUCUGCUUCAGAAACUCCAGAAGUCUAUAAAGAAUAUAUCGUAAGCAAUGUGCAGUACCAGCAUAAAAGCCAACAAGUUAAAGACUCCACAAUAGCUUGAAGCAUGGUCGUGGAGAAAAUAACUACAAAUUUACCUGCUUCUGAUAAGAAGCUCGUGAAAUGAUUGGAAGAUUGCUUGCUAGACAUGUCAUCUCCCGGCCAACUCGUUCAAACUUCUCCCAUGUCUACAUCAGAAACAAAUAUCCAUACAGAUACAUGAAUAUGAUGACACUUUACUCAGAAUAUUGUUUGCCUGAAUGUUAUGCAACUUCAGGUGAAACAACAAUAGCAAGCAAGCAGUUUCAUUGAGCACUGCUCCUAUACUAGCUACAACAUGGAAUGUGCUACUUAGAAAACAUGAUUCAUCCUCCCUUGGGAGUCUCCUGGUUGGAUGAUUCAAACUGUUUGGAAGGCCAAGGCAGCUAAUGUGCAAUCAAAUGGUGCAAACAUAGGAACUAGUUUCAGAACAACAGUGUAUAAAGGGCUUUCUCUACUCUGCCAAGUAAAGUGAAGUUUAUGUAUCUAUACUAGAUAAAGCUCAAGAAUAAACAAGAAAGCAGUUAUUUUUUCCGAUGAUUGAGUAAAAUGGAGAUAAAGCUACCUGCUGGAUAUCUUUGUUGAACAACGCCGGAUUCUGUGCAUAACUUCCGUUUCUCAUGUUGGCGUCAAUUCUCCCCAAAUCAAUGACCUCAUGAACAUUAUUCACAUGGAAAGUUUCAACUAGCAGAUCACACAGCAGGGCAAAUUUCUCAGAGACUAAAAUGUCAAGGAGAGCACUGUUGCACAUUGCUGUGUUGGCAUCCAAAGAUGCUGCAGUUGCAUCUUUUAACGCAACAAAGGAACAAAUCUCUUUCGCAUCCGCCAGCCCAGUAGGAUGCUCAUCUGACGAAUCUUGGGCCUUCCCAAGGUCACCCUGGUAAUCACAGAAGUUCACCGUCAGUUUCAUAUCACAGUAUAACAAGGUUGCUCUUUUUAUUAAAUAGAUAUGAGAAAAGCAAAGAAGAUGAUGACUGACUUGUUGUUCAGAUUGGCAGCGGUUGUAUCUGAGAGCGUCACAGAUGCAGCUGUGAAUCCCACCGCCCUUAUUUAUACCUGGGGCUUGCAGGUAGCCCUCCAAUGUGUUCUUCCAAGUAAUCCAAUGCCUGGCCAGCAUUGGGUGCCCAUCUUGGCGAGAAUUGCCACCGUACAGCAUCAUGGCGGCACUAGACUGCACGGAAAUAAAGCAACCAAGCACAUUGGACACGGUUCGGUUAUGUAUUACAGUAUAAAAUAGGCAUCUCAGGAGUCAGGAGACAGAAUUCCUAGGAACAAGUAGCAGGAGCCGAGAUUCAGAGCAAUUCGAAAGAACAGAGUGAGCAAAUCUAGCCGCGUGAAAUGAAAUCUUGGCUGGAGUGCUUAUGGCACCAGGAAGCCAGAGAUGUCCCAGUUGCAACAGCGGAACACGGCGGCGGGCGGGCGGGGGGAAGAAAGAAUGGAAGACGGGGAGAGCAGGGGUUAGAUGCGAAAGCUUGGCUCACCUGUCCGGGGUCGGAGCUGGCGCCGCCGUCGGCGCGGGAGGCGGCGCGGCGGCGCUUGCGCGUGUAAGUGAGGACGCCGCCGCCGCUGCUUCCGCCGGGGGUCUCCGGGGCGCGGCGCUUGGGCGGGACCGGCGGCCGGCUGGCGCCGUCCUGGGAGGCGGACAUCUUGGCUCCCGUCCGGCGAGGCUACAGCAUGUGUUUUCCCCGGCGAAGAGCGGGGCCUAGACUGGGAACUCAGCGGGAGCGCAGCCGCGGCGGGGAGGACGGCCGAGGGGGCUGGUUUCUAGGGUUUGCGGAGGGGCGGUUUGCUGGGGAAGGAUUUGGGGAUUUGUGUGGGGAGCGAGGAGCGGGAGGAAGGAAGAAGAAGAGAUUUUGCGAAACGGAAACGGGGAAAGAAACGGAAACGCGGACGGACAGGCUGUGUGUGUGCUCGCCGUCACGGCUGCCUGCUUUCAACUCUCUCUCUUCCGUCUCCACCAAUUCAAAGUGCUCACGAAAUUGGCAGCGGACGUUCGUUUGGUAUGCUUAGGGGGCGACAUCCCCGGUGAGGAGAUAUACGGUGGAGGAUGAGGCGUUGGGUCGGUAGGCUUAGGGGUCCACGUCUCCGGUGAGGUUUGGUAGGAGGAGAUAUACGGCGGAGGGUUGGGUCGGCAUGCUUAGGGGGUGACAUCUUCGGCGUUGUUGGGGUAGUAGGAGGAGAAGGAAAGGGGGAAGGGGGAGGACGGCUGAUCGUGGUGACGGUGAGGUUGUAUGUAUAGGUGGCCAACUAAGCGGAAGGAUUCGAUUUUCGUUGGUGAGGAAAUGUCUUCCCGUGGCUGUGUAAGGAAGGAGAGGCCGUGUCAAUAGGAAAUGAGCGAGAAGAGGGGCAGGAGGAAGGAGAGGCGGCUGCAAGAGGGGAGGAGCGACGAGAGGCAGACAGGGAGAAAACCCUAAUAAGGCAACAGCUGUAGGGCUAAAUGGGCUAUAGUCCAUAGUUGGGUUGUGCUUUCGCUCUCUUCUUUUUUUCCUCAUGUUCCCCGUUGUUAUCCCAGGCCUUAAUCGCUCUCUUAUUUUUUUUUCCUUGUUGGCCCGUUCGGGCAGCCCAAGCACUGUAUACGCGAGUUGGGCACCGGGUGGAAACAAAAUGUCAUCCACUGCCCAAUGCCUUCCCAAACCUUAUAGGUCACUACGUAUUCAACACAAGUAAAGAACUUCGUACCAAACAUUCAUUUGGUAAUGCUUACGGACGAUCUCUUCUAGGAGGAUAUGUGCGGGACAGGAGAUGUCGAAGAGAAGGUAAGAUGGGAAGACAAAGGACCGCUGCCCUUGACAACGCGUUUGUACGUGUCAAACAGUAUUGAAACAAGUAGAUAACUUUGCACCAAACUCUUAGCUCGGUAAUGCUUAGAUGGCGAUGUCUUUUGUGCCGCUUCGGUAGGAGGAAAUGUGUGUAGAAGAGAAACCGAGGAGGAAGAAAAUAAGGGGAAGGAACGCAUGCAGCUGACCUUAACAAUGGCGAAGUCGAACGAAUCACUUGGUGUGGCCACAAGACGACGGCGUGGUCGAAUGGAGUGGCUGAUCCAAGCGGGCGGUGCCCCCACUUGACCACGGGACAACGCCGAUGGCUUGCGGGACGACGACGAUGUUAGAUCUAAGAAACGGUGUGGCGGCGGAUCUGAGAAGAAAGAGGCGGAGGGGAAAAGAGGGUUUGGGAGACUAACCAUACGUGGCUAUAAAUACAAUCGAUGAUGUCCUGGGAAAACAUGAGGCGCAAUUGCGGAGGCAAAUAAAUGUACUACAUAAAUGAGCCAAUUUUGUGAGGAAAUUUCUCUCUUUCAUAUCAGAAAGUCUGUAUGUACGACGAUUUCGUGUGAUCUACUCGCCGAUCCAUAAUAAAUGAGCGACACUUCUUAUGGAUCUGAGGGAGUACUAAAUUUCCUCAAGCCCAAGCCCAAGCCCAGAUGGCAAUGCUAGUAGUUUGUCUUUCAUAUAGCUUUGCUAGGCCAUCUGUAUACACGCUGAAAAAAAAAAUUGCAGGCCAUGCCAGCCAGCCUCACAAAGUCAGGUGACUUAAGUCAGAGAAUACUGGCUGGUGUCAGAUGGUAGCUAAUUCCAGUUAAAUGUUGUCAAUUUUCAAAGCAGAAGCAUGAAACUACAAAAAAUAGUGGCAAUACAGAUAUGCGUAUAGAAUAUUGAUUUGCUAUCUUUCUUUCUUUUUGCAAGGAAAGUGCCAUUCCCUUGCCUGAGGAUACUAUAUUUACCACUGCCGCGUCGUUUCUCCCCUCGGCGGCAGUGAGACAUCAUAUCAGAAGGCGCUGGAGACUACAUAGCCUGCCAACGAAGAACAUCACACAGCAUGAUCCAGCAACGGGCCGCUCGCUUUGCCUCUAAAUGAGGUUGUCAUCCCUUCGCCAAGCCUUUUACCUGAACAUGGUGUGCUCAUCCCGUUAGAUGAAGACCUCAAUCAAAUUGUGAACUGGACAGAUAAGAUGUUGGAUGAUGCAAGAUAUGACAAUUUUGAUGUGAAAAGGAAAGACCAAAUACUGGCAAGAUCUCUAUACGUGAUAUCAUAAUAGUCAAUAGAAGAUCAGCAUGAGUGGAAUCACAUAAGUAAUGUCAUAAAACUUAUCAUCAGGGCUUACUCUCUAUCAAGUCAAAAAAGGAAAAUUUGCAGUGGCUGGUAUAGUUUAAAACAUGGUGAAAAGGAAAAAUUGCAGCAGCGAGGUGCUAUGUAUUAGAGCUCUUUUACGGUACCCCGGAAUUAAUAUUGGCCAUCCAUUCACCCCAAUCUAAUGGCUAUUGUUAUCGGGUACUCCACCGAUGGUUCUCUGGAGUACUACCUCGAAAAGGCACGGAGUACCUUGUUACAAGGGGUAAAAUAGUAAUCAGAGACUUUCUUAUUUCUCAUUAGGGGCAAUCUCUGAGUUUUUCCUCGCAAUCAACAUGAAAACAUUCCCCGUGUGAAAAAAUUAUAACCCGAUGAACCCUAAUUCUAAACAGGUGAGACCAUCAUCCAUAGAUUCAAUCGUAGGUCUAAAAUAAAUCAAUGGUAGAGAUGUAUAAUUGAUCCAAGAAUCCACUAGGAGGCUGCACAAUUGAUCAAUCCAUACGUGCUGUCGCUGCUGUGAUCCAAGAAUCCACGAGGAGUCUGCACAAUUGAUUGAUCCAUACAUGUUGUCCUUGCUGUGAACAGCGCCAUCAGAAUCCCGGACAGCGCUGUGCAGCCUGUAGCGGGUGAGCGGCGCGUGCGAUCAAGAAUAAAAGUGAACCAUCGACGGCGGGCAGAUCUGGCGGCUAGACAGCGGCGUGACCGACGGGGGCUUGAUCGUUCGUCGCCUCGUCGGUGGCCAGACGCGAGGGCAGGGCCGCUCGAUCAGCACUGUUCAGUCAAAACAGCCCUUACAAAAUGUCCAAAUUACCCUCAUGUUUGGACGGCCAGAUUUAUUUGGUACUCCAAUCCAUGCCAAAGAGUACCAGGGUACCGUAAAAAAGCUCAUGUAUUAUUGGUAGCUGGCUUCAACAAGUCAUGACAACUUGAAAUUUAAAUACAGUGAAAACAUGUGGAACUUUGUCAGGAUCAGAAGACUUAUUCUUAACACCGUUCAUCAUGUUGAGAGCACAGGGUUUGCAUAAACAAAGCAAAAACGCGUAAACCUCAGCAACCUAACAACUAAGAACUCACUUGCUAUUAGUUUUAAUUUGGUAUGGUUUCGUAUAUGUUGGAAUGUUUGAUUUUGUUGGAAUUUCCAAAGUGAACUAAAUGACGUAAACAACAAGCCAGGCAACUGGAAUCUGCAAUCGACAAUGGCAGUAGAAAAGUGUAGUGAUAUAUGUAUGUACCUGGGAGAAGAUGAGCAGCCGGAACUGUUAUGGGUCACAGAGAACACAUUGGAGAGAGACUUUGUGAGGUAUGCAAAGUUUGGUAUCGGCGGCAACGCGGGCACACGCUCCCCUUUCCUCAGCAGCUCCUCCAAGUCGAGCCUUUGCAAAGUGAGUACAGACUUGUUGUCUCUCCAAACAAAGGCGAGCCGGCCAUCCUGGAGAGCAAAGAGUGACCCGGGCUUUGAGCCAGGGUACCUGAACCCAUACCCCGCUGCAAUGCCCUCCCCGGCAAAGCUUCUCGCAAUGUCCACACGGCGGGAAUCCUCGUCGGACUGCCAUGGAAAUGCCUCUGUCGAUGGCUCGCCCAUCCGCGCGAUAAACAUGGCCGACCCAUUGGGAUGCACGACAUAGUGUGUGCCCUCCAACACCUUGGUUGCGAUCAGCAUAAGCUUCCUCUCGCUGUCUUCCUCGUAGGAGAGGAGCAGGAAGAAGAGGGCCUUCCGUGGUUUGCGGUCAUCCUCCGGCCGCCCCGGUGGCCACCCGAAUGUGCCUCCCCACAGUCCGGCAUACUCCCGGCCGGGCACCGGCGCCUGUGUCGCCAGCUUGUAGAGCGCGAACCGGUUGCCAUGCAUGCUUGGCCACGCUCGGUAGGUCGACAGCCGCAGCUGGGCGCCCCGGAGGCUCAGGCCAACGCUCUUGCCGGCGCGCAAGAACUCGUCCAAUGCCAGAUGCUUGCUGCCUCCGAACUCUACCGUUGAAUUGGCCGACGCAGAGCGCGUCACCAUCUGCAGCAGCCCUUUCCUGACGAACCCGGCCAUCGCAGACAGGCUCCUCCGAAGGGGAACCUUAUCACCUGCAGCAUCGCCGUUCGUCGUCGGCGGCAUCUUCUUGGCUGCUUCCAGCAGCAGAGCCUCGAGCUCUGCCCGGCUCACCAUGCCGCCGCCGGACGACGACGAAUCCUUGUGCAGACGCAGCAUCGCCUCCCGGCGCGCGGCGAGCAAGGGGAGGUCCUCAUCGGAGCGCGCGAAGAGCGGCGCCGCGGCGAGGUCCGGCGGGAGCUUGACGCGGCAGGAGGCGACGAGCGCAUCGAGCAGGCCGCAGCGGUUACCGAAGGAGAGGCGGGAGAAGCUGGAGGAGGAAGAAGAGGGAGAAGGCGCGAGGGCCUCGAGGAGGAGGGCGUUGGUGUUGGGGUGGAGGGAGGAGAGGCGGCCGGGGAAGAGGGAUCCGGCGCCGUGGAGGAAGAGGAGCGCGGGGCGGCCAUGGGCGUCGGCGAGGAGCUCGAAGACGGGCGCCCAGCGGAGGCGCGGGGAGAGCUCCUGCGGGAUGGCGCGGAUGGCGACGAGGGAGAGGAACCCCGGGAGCGCCGCCACCAGGUUGCCCAGCUCCGGGUUCUGCUGCGCCCAGAGACCGCGGAGCGGGGCCGCGGAGUGGAGGAAGCGGCAGACGGUAAGAGAGGAGCCCCCGGCGGCGGCGCGCCAUGAGAGGAGGUGCGACGGCGGGGAAGAAGAAGGGAGCAGGCGGCGGCACUGCGCCAGCCAGGGCUUGUCGGCAGCGGAGAGGGCCGCGUGGAGGCGGCGGUCGGCGGCGGAGAGCGCCAGGAGGUCCCGCGGGCGGAGGUGGGCGGAGAUCAGGGCCAGCACGUCGUCCGGGAGCGCCAGGAUCAGCUCGCCCCCGGCCAUGGAGAUCGGGGUUGGGUGGGCCGUCUGCUUCCUUUCGCCUUUUUCUUUUCUUUUCUCAACCUCAAAAAAGUUCCAAGCUUUAUAAUCCUGCGAGAAGAAGACUGUGAAGAGUGACAAGCUCAGCCUGGUCUUUUUCCUCGGACGAUGAAGAAAUAUCUCUUUUUUUUUGCAUUUCGCUCUCGUGCUAUUCUCGCUGGCCACCUUGCUAAAAUAUCUCGAACCACUGUCUACACCAUUUUAUUACGCUUAUCGGUCUAUUUAUCUGCAGUUUCCUCCACAUUGCUCGACAUUGAUAAAUCACCUUCUCUAGUCACCUUCAUGCACCACAAGCUUCAGUGGAUUUACCAAUAAUUUCUUAACCCGAGUCUCUUUCGGACCCAAAAGGUGGACACACAAACUACGUGAUCAACAAGAAUGAUGUGAUACGAGGCAACAAGCAAGGAUCCGCGUCCGUUCAUGGGUUCGGAGUGUCAAAACUCAGCUCUAUGUUUCGUAGGAUUUUUACAGAAUUUCAAUCCUAGGAGUUUUUUUCUACAUGUAGCAUGGUUUCAGAACGAACAUGUUAGAUUUCUAAGAACUGUAUCCAAAUUGGCAUAAUUCAUAAGGAUUCUAAACAUCAGGUACGAGCUCAUUUAAAAUUAUUAAAGAAUAAAUAUGCAUGACAUUUCAAUCAUCUAUUUUCAUAUUCAUAUGAUUUCAAAAUCCUAUGAACCGAAUAAGCCCUAGGAUUACGACGUUGUCAAGGGUCAAGAAUGUAAAAAAGAAAAGUGUUAUAGAAGGGAAAAAAACGUCACCGUCAAAAAGAAUGAAUUAGUUUUGAUUUGGUCACAAGGUCUAGAAGAAGAAGAUGCUGCUUCUUGGUGGAUGUCAUGUCGACGUCAAGAUCACCUAUUGGCACAUUUCGUCCAGUCGUCGUUUGUAGUUUAUGUCCAGCGAAUUUGAGACCCGGUCAAACAGUGAACUCAUCAUCCUCGACGACUUUGACCAGGGUGGGUCCUUUGGGCCUUAAAAGACUCUCCUCGCUUUGGGCCCAUUAUAUUAGACAAGACCCCUUAUACAAAACAAGAGAGAGGCCAAGCCCAUGAGCAGAAGAACGCAACGGGCUGUGGGCCGGAAGCAGUAUCACCGUGGCAUCGAGAGCAGAUUACUUUUUAUUCGCUCAAACUAACAAUGAAACCUGCCCUAAAAAAAAACUAACAAUGAAUGAUCCCUAAAAAAAAAUUACCACUUGAAUGACAGGUCGUCCUCUACAAUUAUGGUUGUUUACAUGGCCUAAAUCAGCCAACUUUGUCUGACCACUCUGCUCUACGGUCGAAUCUAAGCUAGUAACUUAAUGGGCUUGUUUGGUCCUAAUCAUGGAAGAUGAUGAUUGGUCUAUGACAUAGAUACAGACUGGGACAGGGGCGCCAGACUCGUGCCUAAUCCUUCUUGUUUCAUCCAAGAAAAGUCUUAAGCCGUAUACACUGCCAGCCGGUACGCAUCGCAAUCUCAGGAUGACGCUCAAAUUGUCAAACCAGUUUGUCCUAAGAUGAGUUUUUUGUUUUGUUCAACGUAUAGCUGUAAUGGUCUGAUGGCAAAGAAUCUAACUGAAUGUAUAGCUGCAUGGUCUGAUGACAAAAGAGUACGCAUCUCAGAAAAAUGCGGGCAAGAACACAAGCAAAACCAAAGAUUAAUACGAUAACACACUGUACGAAAUUAACACUGGAUAGAGAUCGAAAAAUAACAAUCAAGAAAUACGUAAAUGUAACCCUGCAAAAGAAACAUAAAUGUACUGCAUAAUUACAGUACACAAUAAUACUUGUUGCAGCAAAACUCUGAUGAUCAUCAUCAUUUCUGAUUGUGAAGACGUCCUUUCAAUGAAAUUCAAUCAAGAAACCAAUUGCUUCAUUGCUCAUGAUAGCUACGAGUAGCUAGUAACGGCAUGAAAUCGAGAUCAUCUUAAUCUGUUUUGCAGCUGAUUGCAUGCUCCUCAUUUCUUGGCGGCGGCAUUGCUGGAGGAGGAAGAAGCUGAAGCAGAGGAGGUCCUCUGUUCGUCGACCUUGUGCACCACCUUGCUCCUGCCUCUGUGCGCCACCAACAUCUUCCUCAGCGCGCGCAUCAUCGCCACCAGCCCCGGCGCCCUUCUCCGGGACGAGCCGCUCCUCCUCGCCGCCGCGACCUGCAGCACCGCCACCUCGCGCUCCUCCUUCGCUGCCCGCCGCCGGCGGGAAAUGUCGAAGGACAGGUCGUCGUCGGCCAAGUCCUCCCUGCCGUCGUCGUUGAGGUCCUCCCACAGGCUGUCCAUCAUCUCCUCUUCUUCGUCCUCGGCUCCGGCGGGGGAGCAGAAAUUGGCGCGCCAUGGCGAUGCGGGAGCGGCGCUGGAGUCCGCGGCAGAGAAGCUGCGGCGGAUGGGCGACGACGAGAGCAGCCACGCCGGCGGCGGAGACGCGGACGCCCUGCUGUAAUUCCGGCGGUGGCUGUAGGUGCUGCUGCUGCAGCAGGCGGCGGCGAGGAGCUGAGGCGGCGGCGUGGGGAAGCUGAAGUCGUCGUCUUGCUCCGCCAUCGCCAUUGCCUAUUCUCUUCUCCCUUCUCUGCUCUGCUCUGUUCUGCUACUGCUGGAUUGCGUCUUGGUGGGGAAGAAGAUGCCAGUAGUGCUUCUGUUACCUAGCUACGUGUUGACUCUCAUCAAAUAAGGAGAGGAAGAUACCUCAAAAAAAAAAGUAGCUGGAGUUUGGUCCAACCGCAAGUAUUUUGAUUGAUGCUUGAUUGGUGGUCAAUCAAGGCAUUCCCUAUUGAUGCUGUAUCAGUAAUUUGUUUCAUGCGUACAAACUUUGAGCUAGAGUUGGCUCCAAGUUUUGCUUCAACGUUUGACCUCUUGAGCUGCACAUAUAUUCAGUUUACUACUCACCCCUUGUUUCCAACACGGCAUAAAAACUCAACUUAGGACAGUUCAUUUGAGCAUCAUCCUGAGAUUGCGAUGCAUACCGGCUGGCAGUGUACAGCUCAAGACUUUCUCUUGGACGAAAACAAGAAGAAUUAGGCACGACGAGUAUGAUGUCAAAAAAAUAAAACAAAAAAAUUAGGCACGAUUCCGGCCCCCGUGAUGUCUGUCAUAGACCACUGAUAUUCCAUGAUUAGGACCGAACCCAUUGUUAAAUUAGUACUAGAAGCUUAGGUUCGACCGUAAGAUUAAGAAGCAGAGUGGACAGACGAAGUUGGUUAAGUUAGGCCAUGUAAACGACGAUAAUUGCAGCGAGCAGGCUGUUCAUUAAUUAAUUAGCACAAAACAGGGUUCAAACGGUCCUUGAUACUUCUAUGUCUGAGGUCAACUGCCGUCUGUGUAGCACUUGACGACGGAUGAGAACAUGCCACUGGCUAAUUAAUUGGCAAACAGAUUGCCAUGACAUACAUUACCUAUCCGUCUAAAAUGUUGCAGCGAUCCAGUAAUUCCGGUGGCUGGUUGCUUCUUGUCUCUAAUUCUUUGUUUUGAUUUGAGAAAACCCAGCCGAAAUGCUGGGCUGGGCUGUAUCCAAAUUCAUGUUAAGGUUUUGGCCCACAAGUCCAUUACCAUCACAAACAAUUAGCUUCUCUGUCCGCUCAAAAAAAAAAAAAGCUUCUCUCGUCCUGUCUCGUGACUGUCCUCGACAUACAUACUUUAUCUUUUGUCUUCUUUGAAAGAAAGAAUGCACAUGUAUACUUAUUUUCAUUCCGUUUGUUGCAAGUAUACAUCGUUCGUCCUAGUAAUGCAUACUGCACGUUCCAGAGAAAUCAGGACACUUGGACCAUUGCUUGAGUAUCAUCACUGUCGGCUUGGUUAAACAUCCCAAUUCCCAAAAUAAAACCAUAACAGAUACAUGUCACCCUCCCCGUGGAUCGCACUAGCAAUGGCUAUGUUUCCAGGAGACAAUCACAGCAGAAAUUGGACCCAGCAAGGCAGCAAGGACGAUAAGAACCUGACACAAUAGAUAAGCGAUUGAUGGGAUGGAAACAAAAUUUAAGCAGCGGUGAGGCCUUUGCACAAAAUUUAAGCAGCAGCCAACCACCAAAGAAAACAUGGAGGAUGUCCGGAUCGUCUCCCGGCGCAUGAUCCGGCCGGAGCCGACGAGCACGCGGCGGCCGCCGGAGCUGGAGCCGGAGACGGUGAUCCACCUGACGCCAUGGGACCUCCAGAUGGUGACCGUGGAGCACAUCCAGAAGGGCAUCCUCCUGCCCAAGCAUCCACAGGGGCACAGCCAUGCCGUCGAACGGCUCGCGUCGUCCUUCGCGCUCGCUCUGGGACGCUUCUACCCCUUUGCCGGCCGGCUCACCGUCGAGGAGCUCCAGCAGGACGGCGGCAUCGCCAUGUCGCUGCGCUGCAGCGGCGAGGGCGCGGAGUUCGUCCACGCCGUGGCGCCCGGCGUCACCGUCGCCGACAUCACCUCGCCGGUGUACGUCCCGCCGGUGGUCUGGUCCUUCUUCCCGCUCGACGGGGUGCUCGGCUUGGACGCCGCCGUGGCCUCCCUACCGGUGCUGGCCGUGCAGGCCACCGAGCUCGACGACGGCGUCUUCCUCGCCAUGUCGCUCAACCACGGCGUCGCCGACGGCACCACCUUCUGGCACUUCUUCAACACCUGGUCCGAGAUCAGCCGCCGGAGCGGCAACCACGACGCCGCCGCCAUCGGCUGCGAGAUCGCCUCGCCGUUGCCGUUGCUCCAAAGGUGGUUCCCUGAAGGCUGCCCCAUCCCCAUCCCUCUGCCCUUCGACAAGCCGGAGGACAUUGUCGGCGACCAGCGUGCCAAGUACCCGUCGGUGCAGGAAUGCUUCUUCCGUUUCUCCGCGGAGAGCGUAAAGGAGCUCAAGGCGAAGGCGAACGCCGAGAUGGCUGGCGCCCCAGCCACCAUCUCCUCGCUACAAGCCCUCUUCGCGCACAUGUGGCGCGCCGUGUGCCGAGCCCGACGCCUCGCGCGAGACCAGGACGUGACGUACAUCAUCCUAGUCGGAUGUCGAGGCCGCUUGGAGAGCAUGCCAUCGGCCUACAUGGGCAAUGCCGUGUCGCUUAUCAUGGCGAGGUCGACUGCCGGCGAGAUCCUGGACAAGGGGCUGGGCUGGGCAGGAUGGCUCCUGAACCGGGCCGUGGCAUCGUUCAACAUGGCGAGCGCAACGGCUGAGACCGCGUCUUGGCCUCGGAACCCUGGCUUCGUGCGUCCUCUGGCGUCCGUGUUAGACGGUCAACCAAAGUUGUCCACGGGGAGCUCGCCACGGUUCGACAUCUACGGAAACGACUUCGGAUGGGGCAGCCCGGUGACCGUGCGGAGCGGCUCGGCGAACAAGGUGGACGGGAAGAUGACGGUGUAUGAGGGCGGCGAGGGUGCCGGUAGCAUGGCGCUGGAGGUGUGCCUUGCUCCGGAGGCGCUCGCCAGGCUCGUCGCCGACCAAGAAUUCAUGGACGUGGUGAGCUCAACCAAGGAGUGAUCAAUGAUCAAUCGAGCUCCUUUUCUUAACCACCGUGCCUAUGUUAAGUCUUAGAUCUGCAUCACUCAUCCUCUAUGAAAUUUAUGUAUUUGCCAAGAACCACUGGAAUGAUGAUAUUUUGCAGUACUAGUGAAGUGUCCAGAUGUUGGUUGCAGCCCACCAUUCAACAGAAAUCAAGCAAUCACAAGAAAGCUUAUCAAACAAUCAUCUGAUCAUGUAAAGCUUAAGGGAUUCAAUUUCACUCAAGAUCACACAAAGGAGUACAUACAACAUUAAUUAAUUGCAGGAUCUUCACCCUCGAGCAGUGAACAAGUAAAAAAACUAUCAUCCCCAACAUGUUUCCAUUCCGUGUAGAAGCUAAUUAAGCAGCGAAGUACCAUCCCCAACCCCUCCAUUAAUCUUACAAGGUACUGAGGUGUAAUCACUGAGAACCUGCUGAUCCUUCCAUCUCAUUUUGCUUUGCUUUGUGUAGACCAACGAUCCAAGACCAGCAGCACUAGUGGAUGAACAAUCGUAGUAGCUAGUUUCUUUAUGUGAUGAUAAAAAGACCGUCUAGACUAGCCGUGGUAGUAUUACAUUACAGACGUAUUACAGGGAGAAUCAAAGAAGAGAAGAUUUCUGGUCAGACCUCGAAGUGCUCCAUCUGCACGUCGGAGGCCUUGAGCGGGACGUAGUCGCCGAGGUAGACCUCGAGGUGGUCGGAGAUGUUGCUCUUGUCGAUGCUCUCAUGGUGGUAGCUCUUGCAGACAAGGUACACCACCGUCUGCACCACCAGUGCGACCAUGACGACGGCGCAGAGCAGGGCCAGCAACGCGAGGCCCAGGAGCAGCCUGGCGCCGGCGCCGAUGCCGUGGCGCGCGCCCUGCACGACCCACGCCCUGAACGCUAGCUCGACGACGAUGAAGACGAGGUUGAGCGUGAAGAAGAUGGCGGAGGCGGUGCGGAGCUUCCCUUUGAUGAGGUCCUUGCUCUUGCGCAUGGCGUGGAAUCCCUUGUAGUCCUCGAGCACGGAGACGACGCUGGCGAGGUGCCAGAUGACGCCGAGGUAGACGAGCCCGGCGACGUAUGCGGCGAGGAUGGGGAAGAAGACGACCGCGGCGAGGCCGGAGCCGUUCUCGGUGGCGACGAGCAGCGCGAGGAAGACGGCGACGGCGGCGAGGUUGUAUACGGCGAGCAGCGCGAAGGCGGCGAGGAAGGUGGCCGCGAGCCGGCGCCAGACCCUGGGCACGACGGAGAGCACCCUGGGGAACGUGAGAGCGUCGUACUUCGCGGAGUAGACGGAGGCGACGGAGAAGACGGCGGCGGCGGUGGAGAGGAGGGAGAGGAGGAGGAGAGCGAGGAGGUAUGCGGACUUGAAGAGGACGAGCGCCGACCAGUCGGCGGCGAGGCGGCGGAGGAUCCGGUCCUGCGAGGCGGUCCCCGGGGAGGAGGAGUCGAGCGCCGUGUCGUCGGAGUCGAUGGUGGUGAAGAGCGCGUGGGAGAUGGCGAUGUGGGCGAGGAAGAGGGCCGAGAGCGGGAGCACGAAGGCGGCGGCGAUGCGGCCGUAGAGCGGGCGGUGCGCGCGCAGGAUGGCCACGGACUCACGCGCGAUCCCCACGGCGCCCAGGAACUGCAGCUCCUCCGGCUCGCACUCCAUGGGUUCCCGCGCCGCCGGUGAGGUGCUGGAGAUCUGGGGUUGAGCUAGGGAUUUGGACGGAGGGUGGGGAGCUCGUGAUUUGGGGAUUUUUUUUUGGUUCGGGGGAUUGGGGAAGAAGGAAGAAAGCUAAAGCUCAGCUAAGCUCGGGUUUGUUUGAUCGGGUCAAAGUCCGACCGGUCGCUUCCAGAAGCCGACCGACGAACCCGAUGACGCGUCUUCCUUUGCUUCCGCGAAAUGGCCGGCGUUGACCGUGGGCCAGGUUUCUGUUACACGGGCCGUCUCAGGGCAUGGAUGGGGGUAUUCCAUGCUCAGUGAAUGUCAUUCGGCCCUUACUGUAUCAGCUAUAAGCUAUAUAGGCCACCUUGGGCUCUGGAAGUUACUUUCUGUGUUUAUUGACUGGGGGCUAUCAGCCCAAACCAGAAUAAAUCAAAGCCUACUACUACUACUACUACUAGGCAAUUACAUGGGCCAAACGGAACUACUUUCUAUGCCAAUGUAACAACCUUGUCGUGCUUCUAAAAGAAAAACUUCUUGUACUACCUAAAACCGAAAUGUAAGGUUAAUGUUAUACGAGUCAUUUUAUUGUCGGCUCAAUGGUGAAGACUUGCUAAAGAGUCACAGUGUCAAAAAAAUAAAAUGACAUAUCAAUUCGCUUGUGGAUCGGAGUGGCAUGUUUGUUUCACUUGAGUCCAAAAAAACUCAGCAAGGAUUUCAAAGGUAGUAGUUCGGCCGUCCAAAAAAAAUAAGAAAAAUCCUAUGACUUAAAAAAGUUCAAAAAUAUAAAAACUGGUAGGAUUGAGAUCAGGCGACGUACGAUUUAUACGUUACAUCACCGGAGCCACUUCCAAACCACUACUCGGCCACCUAAAAAUCCAUAUUUCAUAAGACAAAAAUCUUACCAGCAAAGCUAACUUUUAAAUUAACAGGGGGAAGACGGUGACCUGCCCACUAUGGCAGUGUGCCAUUGUGCUUCUACACAUCGAUGAAUGGACACGAACACGACGCACGUCCACGUCAUCACUCAUCUACUCAUUAAUCAGUUUAAAAUUGAAUUCGCAAGUUUAACUCACAGAUUUCAAAUUCAAAAUUGAAUUUGCAAAUUUAACUCACAGAUUUCAAAUUGAAACCCAGAGACUAUAGUACUACUACUCUAGAGCUCACGUGGGCGAGAAGAAGAAGAGGAGAGCCCCCCCCCCCCCCCCCCGCGCCCGCGCCGGAAGGAAACCUAUAAAAAAAUCGCGUCUUUUUCUUCCGCCUCGAUCGGCAUCUCCUCCCUCCGCCGCGCGCGUGACGCGAGGAGAGGAUCCAUUAAUUCAGCCGGACAGCCAUGGCGCACGCCGCCCCCGUGUGCGCGCGGCUGCCCCCAUGGCGCGUCCUCCUCCUCCUCCUCGCCCUGCUCGCCUUCUCCUGCUUCGCCCUCACGCGCUUCCCCGCCGCCGGGGCCCCGCUCGCCGCCCUCAUCGCCGCCUCUUCUCCGGCCGCCGGCGGAAGCGGCAGGGAGAGCUGCGCCGGGUUCUACCGCGGCGAGGGCGCGGGCGGGAGGCGAGCGGCGUCGGCGUCGGUGGAGGAGUUCGGGGCCGUGGGCGACGGGGUCACGUCCAACACGGCGGCGUUCCGGCGCGCCGUGGCGGCGCUCGAGCAGAGGGCCGCCGCGGCCGGCGGUGGGGCUAUGCUGGAGGUGCCUCCUGGGAGGUGGCUAACCGGCAGCUUCAACCUCACCAGCCGCUUCACGCUCUUCCUGCACCACGGCGCCGUCAUCCUCGGCUCCCAGGUACGUACAUGAUCCAUCGUCGAUCGUCCGCCAAUUCCUUUUCCUCUUCUUGUUCUGUUCCAUUUGAUUAAUUCCAAUCUACUUUUCUGCUGAUAUGGGAAAUUAUUGUUGAUUAGUUGGUGGGUGCGGACAAUUUUAUUUCACAACAAAAAAAUUGCACAAAGCUAAUUAAGCUUUCCUGUAGUGGAGAAAUUGGAGUUUCCGGUAUAUGUUCUUGUUUGGUUGGUUGGACGCUGAGAAAAUGUGCACAUAGCUGAGCUUUCCUGUAGUGCUGAAAGUUGGAAUUUUCUGUCCACGUUCUUGUUUGAUUGGACGCUGGCUCCGACGUUUGUGCUGUCACUUGACAGUGGCAAUUGAAAAAAAAGGAAAGUGGGAAGAGAUGCUGUGGUGGGUUUGGAAUCCUGCACACAUGCUUGGAUGGUUGUUGGUUUCUUCUUCCUUUUCUGACUUCUGCAGCUUGCCACAUGUUAUUGUUCGUUCUAACUAACUAAAUCACACUGUGUCAGAGCCUUUGCUUUGUCCUUACUUUUGCUUGGACUGGCCUGACUUGAUUCUACUACUAUACUGUACUUUGCUUGUAGUGCUGUCUCCUCUGCUCAUAUGCAGCUAGUUCUAAAAGGUUACAUAAACCUCUAAUUGUUUGGAGGUUUCUGCAGAAGCUAGUAAUACUAAUACCCACUUCUGGUGCAUGCAAAUGCAGUGGUCAAUUGGUCAUACUAAUAAUUUGAAGGAUUGCUACUAUGUGUGGAGAGUUUAUGGGAGAUGAAUUUGCUAAAAGGAAUCCCUCAUACAUAUAUAUUGUGGAUACUGUCUACUAGUACUUUUAUGUGAGGGGCGGCUUAGUACAAAGUUGCUGGGAAAGAAACCAUAAUUAAGAGCGUUAGCUAGGAGUUUGACAUUGUUGCCACAUGCACUUGCAAUGCAAUAAUCCACCGCCUUAUUAUUCUAGGACAAUCAUGGAGCUAGUCUUCAAGUCCAACAUGUUAACAGGGUGGAUAAUCUUCAAGGGGACCUAUCACCAGAUACGUUACCUAUCUUCAAGGGUGCAUCAAUCCCCAGAUUCGAGAUUUAAUAAUAUUCGUGUACUCGAAUUUAAGUAGAAGAAUCUCCAGUGUUGCAUAUGUUACUAUGCAGUACUUGUACAGGAUGAUUUAUGAACUGCAGAGUGUGUUUUUUACCGAAAAACUGCAGAGUGUUGACUGUGCUAUUGGACUGUGACUGUGAUGUGCAGGAUCCAGAAGAAUGGCCUCUCAUAGCGCCAUUGCCGUCCUACGGGCGCGGGAGGGAAAGAUUAGGGCCACGGCACAUUAGCCUAAUCCAUGGUGAAAACCUAGACGACGUUGUUAUCACAGGUACACAAACUGUUUUUAACAGUCUCCACUUUCAAGUUUUGGUCAGUAAAAUAAAAAAAAUAUUGCAUGCAAAUCAGAGAGCCAGUCGGUGGAUCAAUUUAAGCAUAAAUUCCAGUUUGACUGUACUUUUGAAUUGCUUGGCUUUGCGUGUCAGGUAGCAAUGGGACCAUAGAUGGCCAAGGCAGGAUGUGGUGGGAGCUAUGGUGGAACCGGACUUUGAACCACACCAGAGGUCAUCUUAUCGAGCUCGUGAACUCGACAAAUGUCAUGAUCUCCAAUGUCACUCUACGCAAUUCCCCGUUUUGGACGGUGCAUCCGGUCUACUGCAGGUAUCAGUUUUAUCAUGCUGAUACAUUGGGUUUAUACCACUUUUUUUUUUACCAAAUUGGAUUUAUACCACUUCAUUUCCUUGUAGAGAGCCAUUUUGAUUUAUUUUUUCUUAGUUGAAAACGAAUAUUUGGUGAUCACAGAAACGUGGUGAUAAAGGAUUUGACAAUACUAGCUCCCCUGAAUGCUCCCAACACCGAUGGCAUUGAUCCAGGUUUGUGCUCUUCAAUUGACAGCACUCUUCUCUCUCAGAUAUGCAAUUAAUUAACACUCCUGGAAAAAAAAUCUAGUUCUAAACAUGGCCCAUCACUGAUUUUCGUACUGCUUAAGAUGAUAUAAACAGUAGUCCUACAUGUUUUCCUUCCAAAGUACAAAAUUACAAUUUACAGUGGCUAUCUCUGUUCUUCAUACCUUACUACCCUCGUCCUAGAUGAUGAAUGAUGAUGACCCUUUUAUACUAAUUAACCACAGGCUGGCUUAAUUUUGCAAAGAUCUCAAACUAGUUUCUCUUGAUGAAACAAUUACAUGGCAGACUCAAGUUCAGACGUUUGCAUCGAGGACUGCUACAUCGAAAGCGGAGACGACCUGGUCGCCAUCAAGAGCGGGUGGGACCAGUACGGGAUAUCUGUGAACAAGCCCAGCACCAACAUCAUCAUCCAGCGUGUCUCCGGCACGACUCCGACGUGCUCAGGCGUCGGCAUCGGCAGCGAGAUGUCCGGCGGGGUAUCCGGGGUGCUCAUCCGGGACCUCCACGUGUGGAACUCGGCGUCGGCGGUCAGGAUCAAGACCGACGUCGGGCGCGGCGGGUUCGUCACCAAUGUCACCGUAGCCAACGUGACCAUGGAGAGAGUCAAGGUGCCGAUCAGGUUCAGCCGGGGCUCCGACGACCACUCUGAUGACAAGUAUGACAGAACGGCAUUGCCGACGAUCAGCGAUGUUCGGAUCGUCGACAUUGUUGGAGUCGACGUGCAGCGGGCCCCAAUUCUUGAGGCGGUGCAUGGUGCAGUUUACGAGGGAAUCUGCUUCAGGAAUGUGAGCCUGAGGCUGAGAGAAGAGGUCAGGAGGAGGCAUGCUGGGUGGCAGUGUGAGUCUGUGUAUGGGGAGGCUCAUGGGGUUUUCCCUGAGGCUUGUGAAGAGCUGAGGCACAAUGGAUCUUCUUCUUGGUGUGGCCUUUCAUGAGAGCUAUUGUACAUAACUUGUAGGGUUUUUCUUAUGAGCUGAGAUCGAGACGUGGGGUGCAUGUCUGUAUUUGUGCUAGAGAAGGAUAAGGGAUAGAGUUUACAGUGAGACUAAACAUUAGACAUGUCUUAUGGAGUGUAUGUAUUUUUGUGCCUAAAGAAAGAUAAUGGGGUAGAAUUUACAGUCCAGUCUCAACAUUUAGACAUGUAUUCUUCUGAGGGGUUUUCAGUCAUGCAGAGUAAAAGGAAAACGCUUCGCCUUUAUCUUUCCAACAAUGGAAAACCUGGUAGUCUAACCAUGCUGCUACAUUCCCUUUUUAUUUAAAGUUGUAUUAGUUUUAACCGAUGAAGGCAAUAUAGAUUUUCCGGAUCCAGAGAAACUUGAGGUCAAUGUUAUUUGACUUCUUCAUAUAGAAUUUUCCUUUUUAUUUCAAGUUUUAUUAUCUUUAGCGAUAAAGGCAAUCUGAAUUUUCCAGAUCGAAAAAUCAGCUUCUUCAUGUAGAAUACUCACCGUAUUUAUUACUAUAUUGCUUCAGGAGUAGCUAAAUUUAUUUCCCUAGAUGUCUUUAAUCAGGUUUAUAUGAGUGAUUUCUUAUCGUCUUCCCAGGCAGUUCCACCCAAAGGAAACAUUUCUCUACGGUUACAAGGUUUUCAUUUCAACGCCAUACACACGGUUUAACAGAGAACUACACGCAGAGGUUUCUCCUAUAGGGUCUCUAGCAUAAGCACCCACCCGUAUAAACAUGCUAAAAAGACCGAGGGAAAAACUAAACUACUUCAUUUCACAAUAUAGCUUACAUACGGUUUUCUCUUUCGGGAACCCCCGAAGGGUUCACAUAAAGAUAAAGAAAUUACCUUACUACUUUCCCAGUCUUAUGUUACAAAUGCCUUAAUUACACAAGCUUUAUUACAGUGGGAAGUGGUACUACUACUAGAGAACAGAUAGUUUUCUGGCUAGCUGCCCUGAACUACUUGCUGCUCUGAAGGCUUGUGUUGUGCUCGAUGAUUGUGUGUCCUCCAAUGCUGCAAAGAGCCUCCUUAUAUAGGCACCAUGGCUGGCUCAAAUAGUGCUCCCAUGCAUUAUUUACCUCACCUUUUUCCAUGUCCAUGAUGCACCUUCUUUAUAGCCUUUGGAUGCAUGCAUGCAUGGUGAUGAGGGUCUUUUGGCUGCCACUUCACUCUUUGGUUGCAUACGAACUCUCUCUCUCUAUAUAUUUAUAUAUAUGCAUAUCACUAUAUAUCUGUGAUUUGUGCACUUUUGGGGUCCCAUAUGCCUCAUCUGAUCUGCUACAGGAUGACCUUACCUUCGCGAGGAGAAAGUGAAUUAGCUAAAAAGUAAUGCGCUGCUCUUGAGAUCUAAAGUAAUUAGUGAAAAGUAUUCAAGUUGUUAAAGGAUCAUAGAGUGUGUGGUUUUCAUUCCUCUCCCAUGGGUUAAGAACUCUUUUCUUAUUCAUUGCUCUCUCAUCAAUGGUCCCACGUACAACUACACUGAUCAACCUACUGACAAAAGAUCCGUAAACGAAUUAACAUCAGCUAGGAAUAGCGGUCAAUUUGAAAGAGUAAAUGCACAUGUACCCUGCAGCGAGCUAGAAAGCCAUCUCACCAGAGCAGAACUGGUUCCCGGAUGGGUCGAUUGGUAAGUACUUUUUCAAGAACGAGGUCUUCACCCAGAUAUUGCCACAUAAGAAGACUUCUCCGCCUGUAUCAGAUUGUGCAGGAGAGUAAUGACGGUGGAUUUGAGGAACCACGACGAGCGGCAGCCCCGCUGCCGCCGUUUCCUUCCUUGGUGGUCACCUUUGCUUGCACGUUCAUGUAAAUCUGCAAAAACAGCCACCAAAUUCCCCAAUUCGAACCAAACUGUAAGACAAUGACAUAUUCUUUCCUUCCACAAUACCACACAGGAAUUCAGAGAAUCGCCAACCUGGAGGAACGAUUCCAACUCAAUCUCGCCGCCAUGGAAAUCCGAGAGAACGGGGACAGUGCGCCAUGCUGGACGAGAGGAGGCCACGUGCCGUUGCCUCGCGACGGUGGAGAUCCAUGGCGCCGCGCGUCGGGGGUCCAGCGUGCUGCUUGCUCCCGCGCCGUCGUUGGCGGACCCGCUGCUCCCGUGCCGUUGGAGGAAGGAGAGGGGGUGCGGAAGAAGAGAGGAGGAAGGAGAGGGGGCACGUGCGCCCGGCUCGAUCUGUCCGGAGGACUCGGCGCCGACGAAGGGAGGAAGGAGAUGGGGCGCGGAGGAAGAGAGGAGGAAGGAUAGGGGUGUGAGGAGGAAGGAGACGUUUGCACGCGGCGACGAUGGGAGUGACGACGCGAAGUUGGUUGGUUGUGACGGCUGGGCGGAGCCGCGGAGGGGAGAGGAGGAGGCGGGGUUUUUAUUGCGUACGGUGUCAAGGCAAAGCGGAGGGCGUUUUUUUUUCUCGGGUGGGGGCGGACCACAGACGCGGAGGCAGGUUUGACAGGAGACGAAAACGUGUAUGAAACGAACGGUCCGUAUUUUUUAAUAGUUAUUAUAGGUAUAGAUUUUACUCCCUCCGUCGGAGUACCGGGCAAACAGAAAACCUAGCACAGCCAGCACGUUCCAUUUUGGCCUUAUAUCGUAUCAGACACAAACUCUGGGCCUUAUACUGGCCCAAAAUCCGGCAACGGCCCAAACAAACAAAGGGCGGUCCAGGAGAAGAAGACGAGGCGAGCACGAACAAACGCUGCGACCUCUUCUCCCACCCCAAACGAGCAGAGAUGGCGGCGGCGGUCGGCGGCGCGGGCAAUGGAGCCGGCGAGGAGGCCGGCGGCGCGGAGUUCUACCUGCGCUACUACGUGGGGCACAAGGGCAAGUUCGGGCACGAGUUCCUCGAGUUCGAGUUCCGCCCCGACGGCAAGCUCCGCUACGCCAACAACUCCAACUACAAGAACGACACCAUGAUCCGCAAGGAGGUCUUCGUCUCCCCCUCCGUCCUCCGCGAGGCCAGGAGGAUCAUACAGGACUCUGAGGUCUUCAAUUCCUCUUCUUCCCAUAAUUAUUUUAUCUGUUGCGAGCGGAAACCUAGGGUUAGGGUUGGGUGCUGAAUCCUCUGCUUGGAUUGGUUUUGCCUGCAGAUCAUGAGGGAGGACGACAACAACUGGCCGGAGCCCGACCGGGUGGGCAGGCAGGAGCUCGAGAUUGUCAUGGGCAACGAGCACAUCUCCUUCACCACCUCCAAGAUCGGCUCCCUUGUUGACGUCCAGACCAGCAAGGACCCCGAGGGCCUCCGCAUCUUCUACUACCUCGUCCAGGUAAUUCCAUCCUAAUCCACCAUAUUUAUUCAUUCAUUGCUUGCUUUGUGCAUGGGGUGUGCUAUUACGCGCUAAUUGAUGGGUUGCCCAAAUUAUACAAUUGGAUAGAUAUGCGCUCUGGCUGGUACUUGCUAAACUAAGCAAAGCGCAAUUGCUGUAUGAUAUCAAUGGUAUUGUUUGGUUCAUGUUUGUUCGCCAGGGAGAGGUUCUGCUGGCUCCUUUGUAAGCUUGCUGAUAGAAGCACAUAGCUUAACUGUACAGUGGAAGUACAUUGCUUAAGUGUACAUAGCUCAUAUUUUUGACAUACUUCCUGCAGUUAUAAUAUCGCUUCUAUUCCAAGGGUAUUAAUUAAAAUUUGAUACAAACUCGGAAGCCCGUUUAUGGAUUCACCAUCAAUUUGUACUGCUGCUGAACAGCCCUUGUGCUGAACUCAUGCAUGGUAUACUGAGAUAUAUACUUAAUAAUCAAGAUAUAAUUGGCUUCGAGAACAUUGUGAUAAGUUUAUCUGUUUUAUUUUUCAUAGUAAUAUGUUAUGUGUAAGCUCUGGGUGGAGUGUAGCCAUGUCUUCAUUGGCGUUAUAUCUAAUUCAAGGUCAUUGAUUUUGAGAUAAAUGACUAGUCAAUUUUGAGCUUAGUUGUCAAAUUGUCUUCUUUUUAUUCAUAUUUUGCACCAUCAUGUCAGUUGCCAAAAGGGGGAAUCAAUUUCUUAUUAGCUUCUGAGCACCAGUUAUUAUAAGAAACUAGCGUGCCUGCUAUCUAAAGGAAGCAGAGCCACAAUCUACCUUUUGGUGUGUAGUGUCAACAAGCCAACAAGCUGAAAACUUAAGACACAAAAUGUCAGAAAAUACAACCUUAGAAUUUGUCAGUUUGACAUCUGUCAACAUCCUUUCUAUUCCUGAGUAUAUCCUCGGCUCUGGAUUGGCCAGUAAGCACCUGUAGGGAAGAUGUAAUAAAAGAAAUGAUAGAGGCUCAAAGAAAAGAAGUAGCGGACAAGAAAGGAAACAAGAGGAACUAUUCCCCAAAUUAGCAGGAUAUUUCUCGGCAGCCAUACAACUGAGCAGUCUGUAAUACUUUCAGAUAAGGUUUCAGCUUUGGAUGGCCAUAUACUUUUGUAUGCUGUAACACUAAGAGUUGUCAGGACUCUUACUGGAUGGCCUUAUACUUUUUUUUGUCUAAAUUAGCAUUUAGCACCUAAGGAAUACCAGGUCGAGUCAGAGACAACACACUGAUUAUAAUAUCCACCCCCUAUGUUGCACUGUAUAAAUAGCAAAAAAAAUGCUGUCUUGUUUCUAUGCAUGUGAUUUUAAAUUUUUGCAAGUAGAAGAACUGGAUCAGCACACUUUGCUUAAAAUUAAAAGCCCAGCUGUUUUGCCAAACAUAAGUGGUACAAUUUAGCUUUUAUGGUUGUCUGGUGACUUUGUUAAUUAGCAUCAGCACAUUCUGAAUUUAUUUCCCAUCAUCUCUACCUUGAAUCUUGCGAACUAUAUGCACGCAGUGUGGAAGGCAGAUUAAGAUGUUGUAAUAACACCAAGAGCCCUCUUAAAACCACCAAUUUCUUAGUAUUCCUAUUACCUAACAUGACAGACUAUUCCAGAUGUCAUCAGAAAUUUACUAUGUUGCUGUUCAUUAGUAUAAUAGAUGGAUGGAUCAGGGUUCAUUAGAAAUUCUGCAAGUUUUUGUCCUAAAGUUGACACCCUAUGAUAGGCUUAAUUGAGUUUAUGAUUGUCUAAAUGUUAUCUGUUUCUUGCAUGUUUCAUUACUAUUUUGGGGAUACUGUUGUUGUUUAGUAAAGAACCACUAGGUGUUGUUGUGUCUCACUGUCUCACUCUCAAGUUGACAGUAAGAUAUCAGCUGUAAAAAACAAGGAACCUUUAAGGGCACGUAAGUGGGAAAGUCUAACAUAGUAAGGCCUCUAUUUUGCCCCACUUCUAACGGCACUGAUUAUUUGUCUCUUCUACUUAAAGAAUUUGACCAAGAUAAUCUACCAUAGAUUUGUCAUUCAUCCUCAGUCUGCUGCUGCAUUUGCUUAGUGGACAAAUAAUGACAUGGACGUCUAAUGAUCUUCGUUUUGCCUCAGUUCUGACGGCAUUGUUUAUUUGAUUCUUGUGCUUAAAGAAUUUGACCAAACUCAUCUACCAUAGAUUUGUUAUUUCAUCCUCGGUCCUCUGUUAGGUUUGCUUAGUGGAUAAAUGCGAUGGACUACCAUUAAUAAACUCUUGACUACAUUUAAAAGAACUGUUAGUGGCAUGCACAUUCUAGUUAAAGUUUAAAGUGGGUGCACAAAAGCACGUGAUAAGCUGCUUGUGUUAACCCCACACCAAGAUUAUUGACUAAUUGAUUUAAUCUCUUCUCAGGAUAACUAGUAUUUUUUGUUAAGCACAGUACUGUGGAGUUGUAACUGGAAACUAUUCCUAACCUGUAUUAAUGUUUUUGUUUGCAGGACCUGAAGUGUUUUGUGUUUUCACUUAUCAACCUCCACUUUAAGAUCAAGCCUAUUCAAUCCUGAGCUUCUUUCUGUCUCCCAAUUGUGUUAUGGUACUGUUGAGUGUUAGAGAAUUCUGUAUUAUGUAACUUGCAACGAGUCGCUAGUGAUGCAGUUUGGGAUGUGUGUAGAACACCGGGGUGAUAUCUUGGCAUCACCAAAAGUUGUUGGAUUGUGCAAACUGCGAGUGCCCGUUACUCUAGUAGUGAUAUUUAUGAAUGUUUCUUUCCCACUGUCAUGUUCUUUUUAAAAAUAUCAGUGCAGCAUUACUUCCUACCACCUUUCUGGUUCAUGCUGAGCCUACUGCUGCCUUAUUGACAGUGCCCAUCACUAGUUUAUUGAUCCAUCAAGGCAACAUACAGAUCUCUUUGCCACUUCUGGUGCAAAUCAACAGGCUUCCAACUGUUUGGAGGACUGUACUUCCAAGUUUUUUACUGCUCCAGCAUCAGAGAUAAUCUUUGAUUCUCCACAAAUUCUUUCAUGGUUUGUGCCAGCAAAACUGACUGAUAAAAAGAGGCCACAGCCCACGAGGUACGAAUGGAAGGAACCUUUCGUUUUUUGCAAAGCAGAAUAGUGUGAUUAAAGGCUCCAUCGGUCCUAUGUAGCUAUCUUUAGCCUGUGAUUAAAGGCUCCAUCUUUAGCGUGAUUAGUGGCAUCUCAGAAGCACUGUUUGGUACACCGUACACCCUUCUUUUGGCUUUUGCUACAGCAGAGCUUUGCAUUACAUGGAGAGUUUACUUUCUUUUCAUGUAAAGAGGAUUUAUAGUGCAAAAGGAGUUGAUGUCCUGUGUCAUGCAGAUAUCUUCAUUCCCCUCUUGGAAGCAGUAAAACAUCUCUAGCAGUGGGCAACUUGUUGAAAGGGAAAUGCAAAAUCAUAGUAGUAGCUGGAAAAUUCAAGAGAUGAUUACGAAGCAGGAGGAGAAAUGAAAUAAUGCAAUGAACAGCACAAGGUGAUGGAAACAAACCUGCUUCAGGUGUACCCUGACCCUGUACAGAGGGAAACUAGCUAAUCUGCUUUUCGGUUUUAUCCCCACUAGUAGUCUAGUACUACUCCUAAAUGAUAAGAUCAGGAUGAGCAUGUUACUUCACUCAACACUGUGGCCUUUCCUUUCUUUCAAAAUCCAAAAUGGUCCAGACAGACAAGAUUCAUCAUCUCUGUGGCCCAAACCAAAUUUUAACGAAACAUCUCUUUCAUGUUGGUGCUACAUUGUCUUUUACUCUUUACCAAACGUCUUUACUGCUAGUAAAUUUCUACUUGCCAUUUUUAGCCAAAAGCACUUGGUUUUAUCUGUCAGUGUAUAUUGGCAGUGCAAUUGCCUGAUAACUGGGCAGGGUUUAGGGGAUUUCUUAUAGGACAAAAGAAUAGGUGCAGUUUGAUUUCUCCUAUGAUCCCUAUUUAACUACUGUAGUUAAAUAAACAUCCUGCCUGAUUCGAAAGCAUGAUGAUCAUUAGUUCGAAGGUGAUAUGUUCGGAAGUUUAACAUAUGUUCGAAGAUUUCUCCUAUGAUCCCUACUGCACCUAUACGUUCGAAGGUUUAAUAUAUGAACGCCCAAUCAUCUUCGUCUUCGCCGGUCUUUGCACAUAAGUUUGGCCCAACACUUUAUUAAGGUAUCUUUGGUUACGGUGGGAGCAGAGUAGAUAUGAACUUCAUAUACUGAAACGGAAGUAGCAGUAGUAGUAUCAUCAUCUUUGAGUGAGUGGAUGCAGUAAUAAAACUCCUUGGACUCGCAGUUCAACAAAUAUCAUCUUGAAUAUUACUAGCAGUAUUUAUACUAAGUUACACUGGAUUUGUUUCACAAAGAAAAGAAAAAAAAGUUACACUGGAUUUAAUUAGACAGCUGUAGUAAACGACGUAGCACGUGUCAUUACACGUGCGCUACACUAGUUACGUACAUCUGUAGAUACGUGUAUACAUGAUCGAAUACGUAUUUCGGUAGGUUCCCUGAAUACGUCUUCAAGACGUGAGAAGCAGAGAGCUCUGGUGCAGUAAUUCAGUUGGUGGUGUUGAGGAGGGCGAUGAUAUCGAGCGCGACGGAGCAGAGCUGCCCGAGCGCCGCCUCCCUGGUCGCCAGCUCCGCCGGGAACGUCGCCACCGGCGCCGGCGCCGGAGAAGACGACGACGACUGCCGCCGCUGCGCCCGGAAGAAGAGCGCCCGGCAGACCCUGGGGUACUCGGCGGCGGCGCUGACGUGCACGGCGGCGUAGUCAUAGUCCCGCUCCUCGAUGGACCCCCUCGCCGCCGCCAGCGCGUCCCUCGCCUCGCCGUACUUGCCCGCGCACGUCCGCAUCACCAUGGCCGCCGCCUGGGCAUCUCCCCCGGCGGCGCCGCCCUGCGCGGUUCCCGUGGUGUCGUUGGCGCCGACCCCGAGCGCGGCGGCGGAGGCGGAGGCGUUGGAUGCGGCGGCGGCGACGGCGAUGGCGGAGAGGCCCCGGAGGUCGGCGGUGGCGCUGCUGGGGUCGGCGGCCAGGGCGGACACGCAGAGGGAAGGGUACGUCGUCGAGUUGCAGGUCGCCCGGACUAGAGCUGCCGCCGCGGAUGGCGGCGCCAUGAUUGGGAUUGGGAGCACUGAUGGCGGAGCUGGCGAGAUUGGGGAUGGUCGUGGUGGUGGCGAGUGCUUGGUGGUGUGGCUGCCACCAUGGCUCCCGUGGUGGGAGGCCAUGGUGGUGCUGGGCGCGAGGAGGAAGACGACGACGAGCACGAGCUGGGUGGCGGCGUUCAUGAUCGCCAUUAAUUAAUCUAGUGGAUAAAUAUGGAUUACAGACUAUCAGUUUGCUGCUAGCUGUACGUGAGAUGGCUACUUGGUCUAGUGAGUGAGGACACUGAGGAGAGUGAUGAGCUUAGCUUGAUUAGCGAGCUCGAGCUUGAUGGGUUGUUUGGUGAUGGGAGAAGGGAAGGGAUGCGAUGGGGUUUUAUAGGAGGAGGAGGAGGAGGGGGGAUCAUGGAAGCUUAGCUGAUGGUUCCUUGAGGAGUGUAUAGUGUAGUCUGGGUCUGGUCAAGUCCAUAUAUGCGUAUAUGCACGUGGACUGUGGUUGCAUGCCAAAAUUGACUCCUAAUUAUCUUCUGCCUAAUUUAAUUGCACAAGUGGAGCUAGGCCAGGCAGCAGAAGUCCACGAUGCCAUAUGUGCUUUCGAUCUUUACUUCCUCGUAUGAUUUGCAAAUUGAAACGGCUUAUUUUCGUCACUGUAAAUUUUCGUGUUUUUCUCGUACGUUAUAUGUUUUUUCUCCCUUGCUAUUUUUGGAUCGUGUAGUGCGCGUGACCAUCUUUUAAAACAGGAUUAAUUGCACAAAUAAACGGACAAAGGUGGAGCCGACAUGCAAAAAAAAAUAUGAGUUGCCAGAGAUAAACGCGUACGUAGUCACAUCAGAGUUUGGAUUAUCGUUCAGGUGGUGGGUAUACUAUGUGGCAUUCGCGAUCGAGGUCACUAUUCAUGGCUUUAUCGACAAUUUAAAAUCGGAGGGAGAGUAUUAUAUAUAAUUACUUUGUCCUCGCCAACCUCCAAUGUUGCUCUUUGCCCCUAGCUGCUAUAGCAAAAUCCUGACUCCUCCUCCCUUGUUCAUAUAUAGCUCUCAUAUAUUUAUGUUGUAUAUGACAUGUGUGCAUUCGUCGUCGCUAGUGUAAGUGCACGUGUCAAUCUAUUGUACUCGACUACUCGGUGCUUGACCAAUGAUAACUCUGUUAAUAUGUGUUUUUACAUACAUGAAAUUUAUAUCGAUAGAUUCGUUCUUAAAAGUUCUUUCUAAUAAUCAUGAUUUUAUAUCAUAUACGUUACAUAUUAAUAGAGUAAUUUUUUAUCAAAGUCUUGUCUUAACGAAACAAAAUACGCCAAACUUUGUGAAAAAGAGGGAGUAAAUAAAUGGAAGUGCUUUAAAAACACACGAAUUAGUUGGUUGAAUUCGUCUCCGUGUUUCUCGUGUGGAUCGAACGCACACCCUCCUAGCUUAGCUACUAAUCUUAGCUUGGGUAGCACGUUAUAGGAAUUAAUUAACAAUGUCAGUGCGCUAUAUACACUCCAUGACGUAUAUUCAGUUUCAAGUUUUGGUAUACACAUUCAUGAAUAUCUGAUACGAGUGCGUGUGUGGUAGCAAAUUAAUCAAGCUAGCUCAGUGGGCUGAGAACUACUUUUGUUAAUUAGCUAAACGUGUUGACGACGGGUCGACAUUGCAUAGUGACUUGGUGAGUCAUGGGGCCAAGUAGGACGUGUUUGACUAUUGCAGUACUGCUGCUGUGCGCAUAUACGACGAGAAAUUACUAGGAACAAGAAGAAGGAAGUUGGCAGAAUCCGGCAGGGUUCCUCUAACUGCGACAAGGCCGGAGUGUCUAUCAUAUCAAGCUGGCCGUGUCAAUAGUCAAGGAGCUAUAUGAGUAGACAGUACACGCAAUGCACGUUCCACAUGAAAUAUCUCAUAUUUCCCCCUCUCUCUCGAACCUGCAUGCAUUCUGCUAUUGUCAGUGUUUAAAGUUUCGGAUCGAUGACUGCUUGCUGCUCCCUCCGAUUCUAAAUUGUUGUCGAAAUAUUUCAUGUAUGUAGACUUUUUUAAAAAUAGAUAUACAUCCAUAUUUUAGCAAAUUUGAAUCAGAAGUUAAUUAAGCUAGGCUUGCAGUUAACUAACUCAACUAGCUAAAAUCGACACGUACUCUACGCGUACACACACUUGUAAGAUUCUAGAGUAGAUGGUUAAUUAGAUUCACGUUCCAGUACGUUCGAUCGAGUACACGUUGAGUAUCUAGCUACUUUUGGACAGCCGCCGCUACUCGAUUUCGGUUCAUAAUCCACGGUGUACGUGCUGACAUAUACUGAUCGGGAAUUCUCCGUACGUAUCUGGUGGCUUCUGGACACAUUAGCCGCUCUACCUACCCACUUAUGUACUCUCUCCAUUCUAAAAUGUAAAAAGCAAAUAUUUUCUGUUAACUGUGAAAUUUUCUAAAGUUUGAUCAAUCUUUUGAUUAACAAAACAUAUGUAAGACGCAGAUGAUUAAAUUCAUUGUGAAAUAUAUUAUCAUAAUAUCUUAGUUUGAUACUGUAUACUUUGAUAGUACUAUUUUCAUAGUAUAUCAGUCUUACUUAUCGAAACUUGCGUGCAGCUAGCAGGUUGAUUAGAGGUGGCAUCCUUUCUCUCUCUCUGGAAAUGCAAGUUUGUACGUAUAUAAUGACUAAAGUACUAAAGUAUACAGAUACUUCAGGUAUUUAUCCAUAAAUUUGUCAAACUAAAGUACUACAGAUACAUAGCGAAAUCUGCACUAAUUCCUAGCUAGUAGCUAGGUUAAUUAAUUGCCAUUGCAAAAUUUGAUUUGGAUUUGAUAGUGCUCUCUUCUUUUUUCAGGUGGGCUAUGAAUAUGUGGGUGCAUUUUAGCUAGCUAGGUUUUCCCACUUAUGUUCCCCUUCCUAUCCUUUUACCUUCUCUUUUCAUCCUUUCCUUCACUUUUUUGCUCGAUCUUUUUGUGCAAGAUUAUACAGCCAUUAGUGUGCUAAGAUUUAGUCGACAUGUUCAUCACCAACUUAAUUCAGUAGUGGUCAUUACUGAUAUGAGCAUGCGUGCCUGUGAUAUAUACAUGCCACCGUGAAAACCACCCCAUCCAAUAAUCCACUUAUUGCAUGCUAACGCAAGAUGGCAUGCGGAUUUAGUCUACAUUUUUUACAAAGAAUAAAUCUUGCCUACCCUAAGUAUCUGGUGGUCUGAUUGACGAAGUUUCACUUCGGCAAUGCCCAUGUCGAGGGGCUUUGUGUUUAGGAAGAGCGACAUGCGUGUGUGUUGGCGAUCCCGUUGGCUAACAAGGACACAGGGUACACAAUUUACCUAGGUUCGGGGCCCUCGGAAGGUAAUACCCCUACAUUCUGCUUGUCAUCUUAUAUUGAUAAGUCGAUUACAAUGGAGCUGCGGAGGCUAGAUGCACAGAUUGGAUCUGACGAGUGCGUCUAGGCGGCUUCUAUGAGGGAUUUUGUCUCUCGGGGGAGAGAGUUGUGAGUUGUUCUCCUUGGCUCCCCCUUCCUGGUCCUUUAUAUAUGGAGGAGGUCAGGUCUCGGGUGAAGGCCAAGUCGGUCACAAAUAGAGAGAUAUAUUAUGUUUAAGCUUCCUUGUCUUGAGUCGCAAGAUUGGGCAUAUGGACUCCUGGAGUUGUAGUAUGCCUCCGAGUGGGCUUCAUGCUGGGCCGUAGUGGGUAUACCAAAGAUGGGGAUCCGGUGGAUCACUCCCACGUCACUGAUCGCCUCUAGAUUUUCUAUCUGAUAAAUCUCGUAAAUCAAGAAAUAUACAUUUGAUUUCUAUCACCAGCCGAAGGUUAACUCAGGUAUAUCCUUUUUACCAAGCGACUCAUAUAUAUAGUGAGAUCUAAUUAUCAAGGGGUGCCAACAGUAUUUCACAAUUUAUUUUAUAUGAGAGAAAAAAGAAAAGGAAAAUUACAUAGAUGACUCUUCCUUUGCGAAAAUAUGUGACUUUGUUGAGUGAGUACAACAGAUCGGAAAAUUUAAAUGACACCAAAGAUUUCUGAAUAAACUGAAAUUUACACAAAAACUUCAUAGUCAACUUCUAUAACCGCGCCAUUGACAUCUUGAUAUUUCUAAGAGUCUCUGGCAAUGAGACCACGGAAGACCAGACUUGCAAAACAUGGACAAAUUACCUCAUAGGUUUUGUAGAGCCGCAUGAGCCACCCACCCCAAUUGAUGAUAACCUAAUAUUGUUGAACGCGUUGUGGCUGGAGACACAUCCCUCGCGCAACAGGCUGUCAAACCGUUCCAUCAUCGCAGAAUCGACUAUGAAAAGGACUGAAAUUACGAGACAUGAGAUCCGCAAGCUCCAUAUAGUAGACCAUGAAAGUACUAGCAAGACAGAAACGGAGGGAGAACUUUAAUGUGCAACACCUGUUGUUGGGGUUUCACACCAAGAACACACAAAACGUUACAGCGAAGGUACCAAAACUAUAGCUAGGCAACACGAUUCGUGGUUUCCCUUACCUCCUGACCUAACACCGAAUAUGUUAUCAGAGGCGGAGGUUGGAACGGUGACCCUUUUUUUCUCCAGUGGCUAAAGUUUCUUGAAUCGACUUAACAAGCUAUAUAUAUUUUUUGAGCCAACCUAUAUUUUUUGUUGUUUCUGCAGACUACCAGGAGUACUUAUGACCAAUGCUAUUGGGCCGAGCCGUAUAUUAUGGGCACUACCGCACCGGCAGUAAUAGAUAGGUACUGGGCGGUAAUCCAGCCCACUAGAAUCGAUCGGCCCAGCAUCUCUAUUGCCCAUUCUCCUUUCUUCUCCACAUCCCCUCGAGUCUUCCGCGGAAGCGCGCCCCAUCCCCUCCAUUUUCCCGCCUUCUUCCCAAACCCUAGCCCUCAGCUCGCCUCGGAGGCGACUCGAUUCGGACGAAGAGGACGCCACCGGUGGGACGAUGCGGGGCGGCACGGUGCAGAUCAACUGGCACGACCAGCAGCCGGUGCUCACGCUCGAUUUCCACCCCGCCUCCCGCCGCCUCGCCACCGGCGGCGGUGACCACGACAUCAAGGUCCGCCAUUUCUGCCCCCCCUCCACCUCUCGUCACUUCGCUGCCCUGUUUCUUGCUGAUCUACGAGCUUCUGUUCGAUGGUUCGGGGUGGAUUAUGGGUGGGGUAAGUCCGUCAGCUUUAGGUAACCCCCUGAAAUUCAUGGCGUUUGGCUUUGCAGAUCUGGGCGAUAGCGUCGGACGAUUCGGACCAGAAGCUCCCGUCUGCUUCCUACGUGAGCAGCCUCUCGGCUCACAGCUCUGCCGUCAACGUUCUCCGCUUCUCGCCUUCCGGUAGGUGGCAAAGCAGUUUCAAAUCUAUUCCUUCUAUGUGAGCACAGCCAGUGCCGGUGUAUAUUUAGUUUUUUUCAUCUCCAAUUGAGCAAUUCUUCUGUAUACUAAGCUUUCUUUUUUUAAGUAAACACCCCAUUUUUUGUAUAUGCUUAAUUAACCCCAUAUUUUACAAUGGUUAUUUGCAGGCGAAAAUCUUGCAUCCGGUGCUGAUGGUAUGUUCAAUCUAGCGCUUGCCCCUUUUCCUUUCUCUGAGAAACAAAAGGCGCUAGUUCUGCUGAUUCAAUCAAGGAAGGGAUUUAUUGGUUGCUCUUGUUUGGAGCCAUUUGAAAUUAGAAAAACAAACUACUCCCUCCUUCCCAGUUUAUUUGUCGUUUUAGAAAAUUUUCGAAUACCAAGACGGUCAUGGCUGAGUGUAAACUGCUGACUGGAAAUUUAUUCCUGCACCGAAAAAUGCAUGGAUAUCCCGUCCGCCAGCUCACAGGUGAGCAUAUCACGGCGAUAAAAGCACACGGCGCGUCAUAGCUAUCCACGCGGAAGAAUAGAAUCGGUAGGAGAGAAGCCCAUUAAUUACGUCUUCAAUACCGACGUGCUCCUGGCCAACUGAAUGGGUGCUUUCCUAUUUUACUCUUUCUGUAAUAUAAAAAGCAUACAUGCAGCGCUUGAUUAGAUCUAAGACGACAUUUAAUUUGGAUUUUUUUAGAAAUCUAAGACAGCGUUUAAUUUGGGAUGGAGGGAGUAACAACGUAAACACUGUCACAGCAAUAUCUGCCUAUCACCAGUCUGUCAGGUUUCCAGCGGUCAGCAUGUUUGCUAUUAGUCAUUUAGUUCUGCUUAAAAGCAUGCUUGACAUACCAACUUGAGCAUUUACAUCUACUGUAGGAGUACAACUUCAAUGUAGUUAUUUGAUCGGGUGAAUUAUUUGUUCUGGUGACGUAAAUUGGCUUGUUUUGUAAUUGGUAGGUGGUGGUAUUACCCUGUGGAAAUUGCAUACAACUGAUGAUGGGGAGGCAUGGAAAGUUCACAGAUCGUUAUUGUGAGAAUACCACCCGAACAUAGUAGUUGCUUGAAGCAGCCCACUGGUUUUGAUGCUUGCUAAAGUAACUUGUCCUUACUUGUUUGGUAGGUUCCAUCGUAAGGAUGUUCUUGACCUGCAGUGGUCAAGUGAUGGUUCAUUCCUUGUUUCUGCUUCAGUUGACAACAGCUGCAUAAUAUGGGAUGCUAAUAAAGGUAAAUCUAACUGGCAAUCGAAGUUUCCUUCAUUUUAACACGACGCAAGAAAAAGUUUCCUUCAUUUUGGCUUCUGUAUUAUAUGUUUGAUAUGCACCAUCAUUCUCAGGUGCGGUGCAACAGAUGUUGGAGGGCCAUUUGCAUUAUGUUCAGGGGGUGGCAUGGGAUCCUCUGGGCCAAUAUAUUGCUUCUUUGAGCUCUGACCGAACUUGUAAAAUAUAUGCAAAUAAGCCUCAAGGCAAAUCGAAGAAUGUGGAGAAGAUGAACUUUGUGUGCCAGCAUACGCUAGUGAAGGCUGAACAUCAAAGUCACGACGAGUCCAAGGUUUGUUUGAUGUACUUUAGCCUACAUAUUUUGGGUAUGCAUUCAACAAGUAGUGUAAUACUUUAUCUUGCAGCCACCGGUUAAAACUCAUAUGUUUCAUGAUGAGACAUUACCAUCUUUCUUCCGGAGGUUGGCAUGGUCACCUGAUGGGUCUUUUCUGGUACUGCCAGCAGGUACAAUUAUUUUACCAUUUGCAUAUAAUUACCUUAUCUUCAUCAUAUUCACUGGCAUUGUCAGUCAUACCCCAUUGACAAGCUUGCCUCUCUUUUCUAUCUCAACCAGGCCUAUGCAAAUACUCAUCCGAAGUGAUUAAUACUGCUUAUGUAAUAUCAAGAAGAGACCUGUCAAGGUAGCACAUCUAAUACUUGUAGUAACACCACUAUGUUCCUGCCAUUGAGUUCAGCUGGUACUUAUACCAAGUCACCAACACAAAAUGAAAACUGAAGCAUCACAUGAGCUCUAUCACUAAUUUGUUCCCAAACAUCCAAUGACCAGUAAAUGGGAAUAAGUUUUGUGGAUGCUUCCAAAACUUGUACACCCCUGGUGUUUCUGGAAAUUUAAAUAAACUUCAGUUUCUAGUGAAACAAGAAAUCAACUUCAUCUUAAACUCGGUUAUAGGAGGAAAGUUAUGUCCUAAGCUUUUGGAGGUCUUUGAUUUCUUAGUUGUGUUAGGAUGCUAAAAAUAAAUGUAUUGUUUUCUUAGAGAUGUGCUAAAUUCAUAACAUCUUAAGGCUUCAGCGGAUAACUAACUUGUUUGGCGCCACAGGCCUGCGAUACAACUCCCUGGUGCAAGUAAAGCUAUAGUAGCAGUUCGUUUUUGCCCUAUUCUUUUCAGCCUCCGUGGAUCUCAUUCAGGUAGUUCAAAUGCUUUGCACCAUUUGGAGAUUCUCACAGUUUAACUGGUCUAUUACAUUGAAACUGAACUACUAUAUCGCUGCAGAUGGUUUAUUCAAGCUUCCUUACAGAGCUGUUUUCGCUGUUGCUACACUGAACUCUCUUUAUGUCUAUGACACUGAAAGUGCUGCUCCAAUUCUAAUACACGCUGGUCUACAUUAUGCCGCAAUUACAGAUGUUUCAUGGUAAGUAGUUUUUCUUCUAAAGUCUUCUCUGUUGGCUGGAGAGGAAAUUCUUGUUUGUCAUUCAAAUCGGAGUUGAAAAAAUCAUCUUCAAUUUAUUCUACCAGGUCUUCUGAUGCAAAGUACCUGGCAUUGUCAUCACGAGAUGGCUACUGCACUAUUAUUGAGUUCGAGAAUGAGGAACUGGGGCAUCCACAUAUCCUCCCUGGUAUUUUCUAUCUAUUCCUUUAUACUAUGUCACUUCUCUGUCCUGUCUAUUCCUCUAUAUUGCUCUUGCCCCUUUCUUUGUACCAUGGUCCCAAUGCCUCAACAGUGCAUCUGAUCCUGUGAUACAACAUCCUGCAAUGCAUGGUUUAACACAGAGGUAGAGUAAUCGCAUGCUGAUAGAAGCUAUAAGUCUUACAAAGUGAUAAAGAAGUCAUUUUGAUGAGCUAACUGCAUAUGUUUUUUUUACACUGCUAUUAUUAAUCUGAGGAUGCGAUAGCAGCUAUACAUGCCACACCUUUACAAUGCGCACAUUGCACCAUUCAUAUAUUGUCAUGGUCUGUUCUGACAUAUUUACUUGAAGAUACUCUUCUGACGGUCCAAUUCUCUGAACAUCUCCAGGGAAAAAGGAAGUUCCAGAAGGAAAUGUCACAUGCAAAAACACAAAACCAUUAACAGUAGGCAGCAUGGAAGUUGAUGUUGGUACGAGCAAAGUUAAGACCGCAGCCUGCCCUGUGGAUAUUACGACACCUCCACCAGCAUUGGCCAAAAACAGCACAUUGGGUAAGCCUACUGAGGAGCAAUUUUACUCAUGUUGCAAUCAACGUAGUAGCUGAAGUAGUUAGGAUUAUGGUAUCCUCUGUAGUGACCAGAAAUACUGACAAUCACUUUUACAGUAGCCUAUAAGAAAUUUAGUUUCCACCUGUGUCUGCCUUCAGCUCUGGCCCCAGAAUCUUACUUUCUGACCAUGGCACACAUUGAAGCAACCAUAUAAAAUUAUAAACAGAUUUUUGUUAUAACAUGCAACCACGCCUCGUUAAUAGAACAGAAGUUGCUCAUACACAAUGUCAACAACAACAAUUAUACUCGAUCAAAUCAAAUGGGUCUCUGCUGUGCUUGUUUUAGUUACUGGAAAGUACUAUGCUCGCAUGAAAAACAGUUUAUGCAUCCGAGGACCAAGUACAGGUUAUGAUUAUAAAGAUUGUAUAAUAGCUGUGCAUAACAGGCAGUCACAAUCUGAAUCUGCAUGCUACAUAGCUUGGCUAUCUUUGUUCCUUUUAACAUGCAUUUUCCUCUAGUGACUGUUCUUAUUCUUCAAAAUUCUCAGGAACAAAGGAGGUUACUGAAGGAAAUGCGACCUGUGAACAGGCAAAGCCAUCAAAGGUAGACAGUAUGGAAGUUGAUGUUGGUGCCAGCAAUGCUAAGAUGGAAGCUAAUCCUGUGUCCGUAGAAGUGACACCACCACCUGCGUCAACUAAGAAUAGCACGUCGAGUAAGCCCAAUAAGAAGCGAAUUACUCCCAUUGCAAUUAACUAAGUAGCAGAAAUAGUUAGGAUCAUGAUAUCCUCUGUACUCUGUAGUGAUAACAAGUACUGGAAACUAUGUUUAGGCCACCCUGUAAAGAAAUGUAGCCCGCUGCUGUGUUCACCUCCCACAGUCCCACAUAUCCAUUUUCUACUCAUGAUAUGGAUCAAAUUAUAUGGAAAAGUCUAUGUUACCUAUGAACACAUUUUGUCGUGUAUUAAUUAGCAUGAAUCCAGAAACGCCCUUUUUAACAGUGCUCCUUUUUUGGUGCACAUUUUCGUUAAUGAAACCAUUUACAGGCAUAAAUUGUUCAUAUGCAACUGCUGGCAACUUUAAUUACAUAUUCCAUUCAAUCAGAUUGGGUCUGUGACGCCUUAUUUCAAUCACACGAAAGAAGAUACAAUCUUAUCAAAAUAAAUGCAUGCAGUGUUGGAUUUGGUCAUUUCCUCAAGCUGAAGUGUCCAGUGUAGGCCAACUUGGCAGCAGAUUCUGUGCGCCAUGGCUCCUCUUAGAACUUGGUAAUGCGCGUCUUUGAUUUACCGGAUACUUCUUCAUUAUCCGCCUCUUCAAAUCUGACAUCUUCAUCUUCUGAAAGUAUCUCGAUCUUCUUGCCGUCAGGCCCCUCAACAAUCUUCUCAUCAACAUGGAUGUGUCCUGUGACAUUGAUGAGCUCUGCCUUCUGCUCCUCUUUGCUCUCAUGUUUCUUGUGCCAGAACCAGGUGCUGUGAUAUGGUGCCAACCCUGCUGCUGCGUUGCUCGAUGCCUCGCCAACGGCUUCAGACUUCUUGACCGCCUCUUGGAACUUGACAUCCUCGUCAACUGUCAGCCUGACGACCUUGGAGUCCUCGGGUCCUGACAUGGUCGACUUGUGGACAUGGACAUGGUCGCUGAAGUUCAACACCUCGGCCUUCCUUUCUGUCUUCCUCCCCUUUUUCUUGUGCCAACAGAAGGCGGCGAGGCACGCCAGCAGGAGGAGGCCACCUAUUGAGACGAACACAACGAUGAUGACCAUGUGGUGUGGAGGGCUAGGUGGUGGUGGUGGCGGGCUGAUAGGUGGCGGUGGCGGGGCUAGUGGGUGCGGCGGCGGUGGUCUGAUGGGCGGUGAUGGUGGGGGUGGAGCACGGCGAGGCGGUGGCGGUGGUGAGGGCGGAGGCGGGGCACGGCGUGGCGGGGGUGGAGGCUGCGUAGGCGGAGGUGGCGCACGCCGAGGUGGGGGUGGCGGCUGAGGCGGAGGUGGGGCACGACGGGGUGGAGGGGGCUGAGUAGGCGGAGGUGGCGCACGGCGUGGAGGAGGGGGCUGAGUGGGUGGAGGUGGAGCACGGCGGGGAGGAGGUGGCUGCGUAGGCGGAGGUGGAGCACGGCGGGGAGGCGGUGGGGGUUGAACGGGCGGCGGUCGCGGUGGCGGCGGGGCUUGAGGGCGUGGUGGCAGCGGCCUAGGACCGAAAGGGUUCGGAGGAGCGUUAGUAUUCAGCGGUGAGUUGAACGGGAAGGGGAAGCCGAGGCCCGGCGGGUUAGGGUUGAAGGCCAUCGCCGGACGACCUUGCUAUCUAACAAUGCUCAAAGGAAAUGCUAGCUGCUGCUGCUGUAGGUGAGGCAAUGGCAGAUGAUGGAUGGAUGGAGUGAGCUGUGGUGGUGAGCAAGAGCAUGCAUGUGGUUAUAUAUGUAAGUAUGGGAGGGAAAGAGAAGGGACGAGGAGUGUGUUGUGGUUUGAAGAUUUGAGUGACUUGGCUGCCAUGCUACGGCUUUGAGCUGGGGUGGGGUACGUUGCUUCUAAACAAGGUACAAUCCUUCUGUUUCUUGGCAUCAAAGCCCAUGUAGCUGCCCGCCGCCCAUUCUACCCUGCUUUUUUUUUUUUUGCUACUUUGGUCAUCAUCCUAAGAUCCUAAUGAAAAUCCUACCUACAAGGCUACACAAGACGCCGAUAACUAUAUCAUUAUGGGUUCCUUCUCUUCAAAAUUUCGUGCCAUAUGGAUCAUCAUCAUCAUAACAAUUAUGAUCAUUACCUGUAAAAAAAAUUUUAUGAUCUACGUGGAUCGUUGGAUCACACGCAGACGCUGUUCUUGGAGGCCGUCCGAUCGAUCUGACGGACCAGCUGCAUAUGAGACAGUGAGAGUAUGAAAGAGUAUGGCUUGUAAGCGAUCGAGCAAAUCGCAUGUUGAGUGUGUUGCAAGGCCAUCUUCUUCCUUCCUUACCAAUUUCGUCCACAAAGGAGGAAAGGUGCCAUCAGCCAAAGGAUUUCAUCCACGAUUACAUUGCGAAAACGUCUUGUCGAUAAUAUCAGUCAGCACGUUUCGCUGCUGCUAUGCACUGCAGAUGAAACUGUCAGGGUGAUGCCGAUGGCGGUGACGUUUGGAUUCAGACGGGUUAACUGAAAUUAGUGGUGCUUUUUUUUUUUCUGAGAUCUCGUUUUGGUCGACAGAUUUACUUACUAAGGAGUAAACAGAGUGCAUUUACUCUGGUGUUUGUAUAGCCGAAGCUGAAGAAGCGCCAGCUAAGAACCAAGCAUUGCUCUUCUCUGUGAAUAGAUGUGGCGUCCGUGAUGACAUCGUCGAUCUUCAAACUUUAUGAAUCCACAUUUCGUCAGUACAUAAUGUCUAAGUAGGCGCAUGUGGUGAUGUGUGUCCAUGAGUUUUUUCUUUUCUUUUUUGAGAACAACGAUUUUGUCUUAUUUCAUAAAAGAAAGUAGGAGUACUACAGUAUAAUUUUUUGAGCGAAAAAAAAGAAAGUACAGUACAAUAGAGAAGGAAAAUAAAGAUAGCGGACAGCCCAACACAGUGACACAUAGGAUAGACUGCAUUUGCGGCCCAUUUAGCAUCAUCAUCCAAAUGAUCGAAAAGAGAGGGGUAGCACUGCCCUUUAGGCCCAGACCGAUUAUUUCCUUAUUGGGCCACCGCUUGUUUUGGACUUGUACAGUACGCUGAUAAGAUUGAUGAAAGGGCAAGUAUUGUUCUUAACCAUUUGACCCAUUAACACACGGUCCAGCCCAAUAAACCUGAAGAGAACAAAAAGGGGACAAUUUAAAGCAAGGUCCUUGGCCGGUUUGCAAUGAAUCGACCCCCCAAAAAGGACAAGUACCAUAUGGCCAAAGGAACAUGCAGUACAAUUAAAAGGCAGCCAUGGAGUUGUCCAAAGUCUUACCGGCCAUAUAUAUAGGAACAAAGAAAGGUAAUGCCGAUGUUACCAAUUCCAGGUGCUUGGGAAAGCAGAAAUAUAUGAUGUCAGUUCUUUUUUGUAGCAAAAUACACAGAUACAGUCCGGUAGUGCAGGAAUGAAUGCUAGGAUUGUGUGCAUCUUUAUUUCUGUCUUUUGAGCUUCUUUAGGCGAGGCCUGGUCAGGUUUCUAGUUUUUGCUUAGCUUUAUUCUUGAGUAUGUGCAUUUUUGGAGUCUCCAAAAUUAAAGGCCACCAAAAGGCACACUCUGCAUCUCAGCACAAUGAAUACUGGAAGGGAAGGGGAGCAUGUAUGUAAGUAUGUCCUUUCUGCCUCAGUUAGUUGUCUUCGAUCUUUAUGGGCAUGUUCUUAAUUCCUUCAUUUGUGAUGCUUCUAACUACUGCCUUUUCUCUCCUUUUACUAUAUCUGUCCACUAGAUCAAAGUACACUCGAUCUAAGAUAAAGUUAAAUGAGAAAUUAUCAUGCAUAUAUGUCCUAUAUGAUCGAGACGAAGAUCGAAUCCAAUUGAUGAGUGUACGUUGCUAGCUACAUUUAUAUUCGUGUGUACUUACGCCUCCGUUCCAUAAUUCUUGUCAAAAUCUUACAUGUAUGUAGACAUUUUUUAUGAAUAGAUACAUCAUUUUUGAUCACAUUUGAAACAAGAAUUAUGAAAAGGAUGGAGUAUUUGAUUGCUCUUCUCUCGAUCGCUUGUACACAUACAUGACUAAUAUACGUAGGUUAUAUGUACACGCAUGCAUGUUCCCUUUUCCAAAUUAGUGCACGAGAUGUACGUACGUUCGUUGGUAUGCAUGCAAUGUCGAGGAUCGAAAACAUGUGUGUCGGCCUGGCCUGUACGUGUCCAUGCAUGGCCGGCCGGACAACAAAAGGCUAGCUCAAGAAGAGGCAAAUUAAAGCAUGGGCUGCCGGCCUUUAACAGGCGGCCGUUGUUGGUGACAUAUAAUGCAUGCAUGCGACGACGAUGGAGACGAUGAGAAAGAUACAAACAUCCUAGUUUCCGCUGGGUCCCGCCCAUCUCACCACUCACUGUACCUGUGGGCCCCUUGUGUAUACCUCCCUCAAAUCGUGAUAUCCUACGACUUUUCAAGACCUACUAUUACUUGUUUCCAAAGAUGAGGAAAAAAAAGCUACAAAUUACAUACCCUUUUUCCAUCUUCCUCCCCUUUUAUUACACAUUUUUUUUCAUCUUCUCUUCCUCCGACCCCGGCCCCUCCACCCUUCAUCAUUACUAUUUUUUUCUUUCAUCUUUGUCCGUUUCUUCCUCUCCCCUUCGACCUUCUCUCGGGGGCGGAGGAGACCAGUAGAGUCCCUAGUCCGCCUAAGAUUUAGAAUUUCUACUUAAGCGCUUAAAUAUACAGCCCAUGCAUUUUCAUCAUAUAAACUAUAUUUUUAUGUUUUGCAUUCCAUAAUAAAUCAUCUCUUUCAUUAUGGCUCUUCCUAUAUUAUUUUUGUGCCUCCGCCCCUGCCUCUCCGGUCAGGAUUUUUCUAAAAAAAAAAAUCAAGUUUCAUCUUCCCUUCUGUCUCCUCCUCACAGACCUUGCACCAUGCCCAUAUAUAUCAUUAUCUAUUGUUCAAAGUUAAACCUCGAAAUAAUUUGGAGUCAUUCUCUAAGGAACAAAGUGAGUAUCAUCCUCGGAUAGUUGCUUCUUUCGGUUUGUUUUUCUGCACGUACCAUAGUACUACCAUGUACAUAUAAGCAUAUAUACGGUUGAGCAAGAGAUCUAUAUAUCUAUGCCGAGGUAAACUGAGAAGAAGGAUCUGUAUAUAUAUACGUGACCUGCUAGCUACCAACCUACCUAGAACAAUCAUGAAUCGUAGCUAGCUUAUCUCCUGUACAUUGCGGAUGCAUGGCCGGCCGGCACUGAUGGCGACUUCUCAACGCCGCUCACAUAUGAAUAUGAAAUUCAUGCAUGCCUGAUCGAUCCCCAACCAAUAAUGGUCUGGUCGAUCCAUCCAUCGGUCUCUGGCCGUAAAUUAAAUUAAAGUAAAGUUGCUGUAUUCGCAUUUGGGAGCACACGUAAUGUACCCAAGCUAGCUCUACAGUAUCGAUCGUUCGAAUUAUUGAAGAUCGAUGGAGCUAAAUGCUGCCGGCGCCGUACAUUACACUGUUCCCAGAUCCACCAAAUUGGUUAAAUAUGUCCAUAAAAGAUAGCUAGGGUAUAGUACGUUGACAUGUGACAGGCCAGCAUGCAUGUACUGUCCGUGCAUGCAAGCUUAGGUUGUCAUUCAUUGUAUUUAUUCGCAUUUUCUGCUACACUAUAUUUUAAAGCCUGAAAGGCAUCGUCGUCUUCAAUUAAUUCGAUCCAUCUGAAGAAGAAGAAGCUCAGAUAAAAACAAAAAGUUUCUACACAGUAUGUAGCUCGUCUCUAGCUAAAUCUGUACUGCAUCAAUCUUGGAUCUGAAGAAGAGAUAGAAACAAAAGUUUGUACACAGUAUAUAUACUAUAUAUAAAUUCAUGCAAUUCUCUUCUCUUUUUUUUUUUAUCGUUUGCGCCGGGUUUGGCGUUACCGAUGGAUCUAUCGAGCUAGCUGUAUAUAUAGCUUCACUGCUUCAGCAGGAUAACUAUUUACUUCCUCCGUUCAACAAAGGAUGUCUCAAUUUUGAUUAAAUUUGAAUGCAUCUAUACAUUAAGUCAUGUUUAGAUACAUGCAAAUUUUGACAAACUUGAAACAUCUUUUGUUGGACAGAGGGAGUACGUAGGUAUGAAAUGAAUGCAUCAAUUCAUAUAUGAACGUACUUUGGAUCGAUCGAUGAUGCAUUUCUGUUAAUUUGCAUGAUUGGCUCUCGUGUCAGUUCUGAGAUGAGUCAUUGCAGCCCUUCCGAUCCAUAGAUAGGUAGCUAGAUAACCUUUUAUAUAUGCAGCUCGAUAUAGAGAGGGAUCGAUCUAGAGAGAUAGAUAGAGAGAGAUGCCUGUCCUCUUGUGGACACUCUUGUGCUUCUCCUUUGCCUAUAGCUUGUUCGUCAGACCUUUCUUUCUUUUCCUUUUAUCGUCAAAAGUAUUUCAUGGACAGAGAAAGAAAGGGCCCAGCCAGCAGCCCCGGGGCUUUACAUACAUACAUAUAUGCAUGGACAUUUAUUAAUAGACAGAGAUGCUUUUUUCCUCCUUCUUGCUUCUACUUUGGUCUCUGUCUCACACACAUCAUAUGAUCAUCGCAGCAGGUUUUGCAUGCAGCCAGAGGCUGACCAUUUCAAGUACCAAAAAAGAAAAAAGUAGCUACAUCCAUACAUAUUCAGCUAACUUCCAUCUCUCUCAUACAUGCAUAAAAAAAACUGAUUUCAAGACAUGCCUUUUUCCAGGCAUUCAUUCUGUAGCUAGGUGCACAGUUUUCAGGUUAUCACAAGAUCCAAUUAAUGUAUGUCCUAAUUGAACCAGCUGCAUGCAUGUUUCAAUGAUUAAUUGGGCAAGAUCCUAGCUAUCAUGCAUCACCAUGCACAUGUAUAUGUCAUAUGUGCAUGCUCUUGAUCAUGUAUACAUGUUUGGGAGUCACUUUCAGACAUGAGAAGCAACAUCUCGCGCCAACUAUUUGCUUUUAGAAUCGGCUAGUAGUCUAUCCAUCAUUUGCUAACCAGUGCUGCAAGGGCCUACAAAAUCAAAUCUUUCUGCUCUAGCUGCUCGUGUAAUGCAUAUAUGCAUGUGCAUAUAUAUGUUGAACAGCAAGCAAAUAUUCUCUGGACCAAUUAACAUGCAUGCCCAUGUUCAACACAUGCGCAUUGUGUUCUUUUAAGGGAAAUUUUGAAGAUUGGCAUAGAAAACUGUUAUAGUUCAAAUACCUCUAUUUGGUUAUAGUGAUCAUAAAGCAGUACACUAUAAUUGUUGGCGAAUGCACACGACAGCUAGCUUAAUCAUCAGUUCAACAAUUAAUACUUUUUCCCGAUACCGGGCAAUAUAUUAAUGCAUUAGGCUGAUACAAAAUACUUAAGAUCGUUCGUGCAAUAAGAAAUUAGUUUGAGAUAUGAAACAUAUAAUAACCCUUUCCCUUAAUUUUGAUCGGCUCACAGUAGCUAGCUAGAUCUAUAAUCUUCAUAUAUGCUUGACACAUGUAACACACAUGUCGGAACAAAUUCUCUAACGAAUAUCUGGCCGGAUCUUGCAGCCUUUACACACAGAAACGGCUAGCAUGCAUGCCACACACGAUCGAUGAUCUGAAGACAGGCAGGCCGGACGACAGGCUAACAGGAGCUUGUAUUUUAUUGCUGUACACAUACGUAUGUGGAUGUGGAGACUGGAACAGUGUCUACUGAUGUGUGCUGCUACGUACUGCAGGGAUCAGAAACAUAAAUUUAACCCAAACUUGUAGAUAGGUGCACACAUACACUAUAUUACAAUGUCAGAAGCUAGCCAGGGUGGUAUAUUGUUUCUUAUUGAUCAUCCAGAUUUAUGAAUGGAUAUACAUACAUGCAUUUUUCCAGAUUUUUGUUGCUAGCAAGAGGCUAGCUAAUUAAGUCUUCAGUUUCUGUUUAGUACAAAUAAAAAAUUUAGGUCUGCAAAAUUAAUAUGAUCGAAAAACACCUUAAUUUUACCUAACAGUAAUGUGAACAUGUCGGUGCAGAUUAGUGACAUAGCUAGCAAUACCAGGUCAUCCAGUCAUUUAUUUUGAAAACAUGACUCGUUGUGCAUAUUCCAUAGUAUAAGCGUAAUGAUUACAUGGUGUGUUUAGUUAAACAAACGAUCGAUGGUUUUAUUUCUAUUGCAGAGAGUACACUACCUCUUAGGUUCGGCUCACCCUACUCUGUCAUCGAAAAUACCAUUCUAGUUAAAAUUAAUCCUUUUUCUUGAGCACAAGGACACCCUUAUUCUAAGUGAUAGCUUGAUCAUCGACAACAUGAAAAUAAAAUUAAACACUUCACUUAUCCAUAUAAAGGUGUGCAUGUAAACUAAGACUGUAAGAAAGUCACUAGCUAGGUUUGAUAAUAUAUAUGUUGGGGAAGUGCAAUAUUAACCACCACUUGGUCCAUGGCGAAUCAUUGGACUACCCUUCCGACCCUCUCCUUUUUCUCUCCCUCAAAAGUAGCCAAGGUCAAUGUCAUGUAAUCUCAUUCAUCUCAUAUCUUGAAUAAACUUCAAGAGGGGCUCUCAUCCCUCUCCUAUAUAGAGACCUUGUUAGGCUUGGAAGGAUCGAAGUCGAGAGCUUCAGGCCCUCCUCCUGAUUCCAGCUAGAGUCGAGAGCUUCAGGCCCUCCUCCCGAAUCCGACAUAAGAGUAGCCAGGUCAUGCUCCAUGAGGUGACCAAAACUAUUUAAAAGAUGUUCAUGUGCUGCUUUUGUCAAGUGUAUGAUGGUGUUCUAUGAUAAGGCCGACGUACGUACAUACCGCACUGAAACUUACAUCCUAGCUAGUCCAUCGGCAUGCACACCAUAAUUUUGUAAAACCUCCACAAUUUAGCAUUGCUCUAGCAACUAAAGAUAUAUUGGAGAAAUUGAGAAAAGGAAUACUAACCAUUAAUUGAAAUAUGCCAACAUAUAAGUUGCUCGAUCUCUUUCGUUCUGGUUCGAAUUAUAUCUAGAUUAAUUUGCAAUCUAGCAAAUUAAUAGUUCAUGGAUCUUAGUUAGAUAUACAUGAGAAAUGUAGUGCAACAUGGUUCCAUAACAUAGAGAAGAAAAUAUGCCGAUUAAACCUUAGUCUAGCUCUAUCAUGGUGGAUUGCAUAUAUGGUCUUGCCUCUUUUGGAUGAGCCAAAUUUGGAAAACAAAUCGGCCAACCUUUUUUUGUGCCGAAAUGGGAUGAACUACGAUAUUUAUAUGUUUUUAUGUACACAUUGUGAUAUAAUAUGGCAUAUGUCUGCCUUUUAAGGUGUAGAAUCUGCAUAUGUGCUUCACACAAGCAUACAUAUAGCUUGUGUCACAUGUCCAAAUUAACAUAUAGUCAAAGUUGUGUACUUGGUACGGUAUUGUGUUGCUAGCUGUACAUAUUCUCAGUUUGACGUUGAAAACUAACGAUUGCCAAGAUUUUGCUUAUGUUUGAUGGUCAAAUUGUGUGAUAGAUGUAUUUCUUUGGUGUGCAUUAAUAAUUGCAACUUCACCACACAAAAAAUAGUGUUGUUUUAAUGAAUGUGCCAGUACAAGACUGAUCUGCAAUAUUUCAUACAACUAAGCAACUUUGGAGAGGUUUACAAUAAUACAUAAGAUAAUAGUAUACUUACCAUGCAUCUAGCAGCUACAUAUACAUAAUCCUCAUUUGGCAAAAUUACAGGGCUUAACAUCACACACGCACGUACUCAGAAACCAAAUUAAUUAAUGAUCAUGUAUCAAACCAAUAUCUGAAGUGUAAUCUGAAAUGUUCUAAUUACUAUUAUAUUUUUUAAACUAUUUUCUACUCUAAAUAACCUAAUAUGACAUGUAAAAUUAAGCAUGCAUGGCUUAAACUAUGAUAUAGAAAGGGGGACUAUGAUAUAGAAAGGGGGACUUUACAAAUUAAUUAAUGUUUAUUCGAAUCAAUUUGAGGAAAUAAAAAAUUAAGCAACAACAACUUACAUUAUUAUCCAGAAUAACACAUGUAGUACAGCAAUCAUUCCAAACAAAUGCCAUAAUAUAAACUACUUUAUGUGAAACCAUUUUCUUCCCCAAAAUAGAUAGGUUGAUGUACCACUAGUAUUAACACUAAUGAAUCUCAAUUUACAUGAAAUACCACUCUGCGUGCACUUAAUCACAUCACAAACUUUCUUCAAUCCUGAAAUGUACAGCCCAAAAGAAACAAUGCACUUAAUCACAUCACAAACUUUCUUGUCAACUGCCCACCACAGGCAGAAACACAUGCAUCCCCAAGUCUCUAGGAAAAAUUGUCUCAAGAACGCACAAAUGCAAUUCAAUAAAAUGUGUCACCGGCAACAAAAAAAAGAGAGCAUAAACCAGAGAGUACAUGAACUGGAUCGAUCAAUGCGUACGUACGUGCAGCUUUUCAUAUUCAUAUUCCUGUCAGUGUGGUAUAAAUUAUGAGUAUAUAUACACUGUACUGCAGAGCUAGAGCUAGAGCUGUACAGUCUAUUUAAGUUUAGCUAGCUAGCUAGGUAGUAGUAGAUGGAUGAGAUGAGAUGAGAUGAGAUGAUGAGGUGGUCAUGGUCAGAGAAGGAAGGAAGGAAGGUACAGCUGCUAGCUAGCUUUUCUUCAAUGGCUGUCGUUGUUGGAUUUUGCAUCUCUUCAUCUCUUCUGAUCUCUCUGGGAACUCGAUCUCCAACGAGAUGAAACAAAGAAGGGCAGCUUUCUUUACUACUAGCUGGAUGAUGCAUGAAAUUCAGCACCUCGCCACUCAUGACUGACCAUGGCACUGAAUACCUUGCACCAAUAAUUCCAACCCCCUGUCUACCCCUACUACUCCUACUAGUAUUAUCUCAUCAAAGAACCUAGCUAUAUCAUGUAGAGAUAUGCCAACAUAUAUUAUUUUCUCUCAAAAUAACUGAUAGAGAGAGAUUGUUGGUUACUAGAGUAACUGAUAUGAUCUCAGCAUGACAGAGGCAGAGUGCAGGCAAGUAACUAACCAAAUAAAUGCAUGUGAGUCGUACUGGAGCAGGAGUAGUAGUCAACAUGCAUGCUUCUGCCCAAGCUAUCAUGCAGAGAUUUAUAUUUGUAUACACAGAGACUACUGUGUACUACAUGCAUGAUCUCCAAAGCAAAGAAACAAAGAAAAUGUUUUUUUUGUUCUUUUGUUCUGGGCCGGAGGUCAGCUUGAGAAAUGAAUUUCUUGGCAAAUGAAGACUCAUUCAGAAAAAUAUAAGUUGAAGUAAGAAGUGGUAGUACAAAAGUUGACCGUAAGAUUAAGUAAGAUGGACGAUGAUCACAUGGCAUGGCACAAACCCUAGCUAAUUAAUCUUAUUAAAAUAAUUAAAUUGUACUUAAUUAUCCAUCCUCAUAGGAAAACAUUGAUAUUGAUCGAUCAACAGCAGUACAUGAACAAACUCUCAAAGAAGAAGAGGAAGAAGAAAGAAGAAGGAACUAGCUAGGAGGAAAUUAAAUCAAAAUUACCUCUCUGCUGCUAGUCAUCAUCAUCAUAUAUUGAUUGAUCCAAGAACAUGCUUGCUAGUAGCUAGUUAAUCCAUGCAUCCGUCGCCUAUUAUAGAACACAGCCGAUUAAUUCUUCUUGUUCUUCCUCAGUGCAUCCCAUGGCUGCUCUGCCCGCCGCCGCUGAAGCCGAAGCCGAGCGCGCCGCCCAUGGAGGACGAGCUCGUGGACUCGGAGCUCGGCCCAUGCACUUCCCCCCUGGCCGCCGUGAGCCCCGCGGCCCAAUCCACCAUCGGCCCAGCCAGGAACGCCGCCGGCGGCCUGCUCGGCCCAGCUCCUGAUCCUGAUCCAUGAUACGCCGCCGCCGCCGUGGUGGUCGUCGUCCCCGGCGCCGGUGGCGACUGGAGGUCCUGGACCUGGCGCUUGAGGAACUUGAUGUACCUGAUGGCCUCGUCGAGCAUGGAGGCCGUGUCCAUCUUGGUGCCGCCGGGGACGAGCCGCUGCAGGAUCCGGAUCCGCUCGCUGAUCCGCUCCCGGCGGUGGCGCGCCGCCACGCUCUGCGGGUCCUCGCUGAUCCGCACGUUGCGGCGGCGGGGCUUCUUGAUGGUGGCCGGGUCGAUGUCCACCGGCUGCAUCGCCGCGAUCCGGUACAUCAUCUCCUUCAUCGCCCCAAGCUCCUCCUCCGCCUCCGCCGCCGUCAAUGCCUCCUCCGCCGCUCCCUGCUGCUGCUCUUGCUGCAGCGGCGGCGGCGGCGGCCUCAUCUGAAUCUCUUCUUGUUGGUGGUGGAAUUCGAGGCCAUGGAAGAAGUGGGGGGAGGAAGAAGAAGGGGAAGGGUCUGCUAGAUGGUGGUGGUGGUGGAGGUGGAAGGGUAUCAAUGGCUGCUGCGGCUGCGGAGGGGGAGCGGCGGCGGCGGAGGGGUGGUGGUCGAAGAGGAGAGGAUGGUGGUGGGUGCCGAGGCUCAUGUCGAGAUCCCACGAGCUCGCGCUGCUGCUCGAGUUCUGAUGAUGGGUGCUCAUGUUGUCCAUCUCACCGCCGCCCGGCCAAGCCCAAGCGAGACCGCCGGAGACGAAGAAGACGAACCCGAGCUCCUUCUCUGGAAUUACACUGGCUAGCUAGCUAACUAACUCCGGUGGAAGUGACUAGCUAGCUAGCGCUAUGAGAUCGAGAGGUAGAGAUGGAGAGAAAGAGAGAGCCCAUGAGUGGUCACAUAAGGGAAGGCUUUAUAGAGGAAUGGAGCAGAAGGCCUACAUAUACAUACCUAGUAGCUAGCUCGACCGAUUAAAUGUACUCUUACGUACUCAGCUCAGCUAUAGCUGAUAUGGUGAUGCUUUUGUGAGGUAAGCUACUAUAGAGCUAGAGGAAGCUAGAGAUGCAUGCCUAGGUAAAAAUAAAAUGAUGAGUGUGUCCGAAUGAAGGGGAGAAGGAUUUAUUGCAUGGUGCCGGGGAUCAAUCAUCACUCACGAUUUAUACGUACUCCCUCAGUCCUAUAUUAAGUGUCUCAAAUUUGUCCAAGUAUGGAUGUAUCUAUGCCUAGAAAGCGUCUAGAUACAUCUAAUAUUUGGACACUUAAUAUGGGACGGAGGGAGUAGUAGUUUUAAUUUUAUGCGGUAGUUGUUUCAUCUAUAUAUGUAAGCACUUUCAUCUACUAUAUAUGAAAUGGCUAUCUUUUGUAAAAAAAAAGUGUGAAAUGGGUCGCCUCACUGGACACAUUGCCCGACCCAAACAGACGAAUGCGGAUUGGGGCUAUUUUCUGUCCAGCCCACGAUCCAAACAGACCAAUACAACAACGAAAAGCGUUCUGUUUGGGUCGGCCUGAUGGAGUUGCCCUGAUGACCUAUACUAACUACAUGAGCACAUACCCUAAGUUAGGGAGAGAGAGAGUGGUGGGGUCAAGUUAUGUAUAUGUACUCAUGAAUGGAUAUGGAGGGGUUACUAAAUAUGGAAACCCGUUGUCAUGAGAGCAUAGAAAAGAAAAUCGUACCCAUGACAUGAUCAUGAUGGAGCUAGCUAUGCUCUAGGCAUAGGAAUAGGAGGAAGGAGGAAGAAAGAAAGAAAAAAGGGCAGCAGUACAGUAGAACGCAUGCAUAUGCAAGCUACUAGAGUGAUGCAUAUGCCACCGGCCCCCUCGUGAACGCCUGCAGCCUUUCGCGCAUCCCUAGGCCUCUCUCUCCUACUCCUUCCUUUGUUUUCUCUCUCCUCUCUGCCUUCCCUAUUCUUUCUUUUUUGGGUUAUUUCCCAUUCUCUUCUUCUUCUCUCAGGUCUUUACAUAAGUAUGAUACUCUAUCUUAUGGGUAUGUGUACACUUAUUCUGGAUCCUAGGGCCGUAGGAUUUUAUCGACCGAAGACGAAGACUGGUUUUUUAAUUCCAUUUUUUUCGAGCGAACAAAACUAUAUAAAUGUUUCCGACCGAAGAUGUAUUGUUUUCCGUUUGAAUUUUAGUUUCUUUAAUCGAAGCUAGCGAGAGAACCAUAUAGGUUUUGUGGAUUAUUCAUUUCAAGGAUAUGUUUCUUCUACCUCGCCCUGAGCUCUCCUCUAGGAGAAAACGAAGCUCAAUGCGUCUUAUGAUGCAGGUCUACCCUAGUUUUCCAGAUUUUCUCAUCAAAACUCUUCCCUUGACUUGUCACUUUCGCUCCAGUCGUGCCAUUGAUGAGUUGGAAGAGCG
RNAcentral lists this long non-coding RNA (79541 nucleotides) under Brachypodium distachyon (stiff brome). RNAcentral's name for it is "long non-coding RNA (BDIS_LNC003038)". The stretch from base 24561 to 24633 matches the Rfam family "tRNA". Lineage: Eukaryota; Viridiplantae; Streptophyta; Magnoliopsida; Poales; Poaceae. The record is from RNAcentral.